GGUAGACAGUGGAAAGAAACUGCCUGAUAUAGAAACAGGAUGAUGUGUUUGUUUUGUUUUGUUAGGGGGGAAAAUAUAGCAUGUGGCACGAGUCCCCUCAAGGAACACCAGAACCAGAAAGAGAAACUCUGUUCUAAUCCACCGUCCCUCCAGGGCCUCUGAGACAGGUAAGCUGUGCUACCUAACAAGGGAGAAAUAUUCACAGCUGGGUAAUUUGGCCUCAGCAAAGCAAGGGUACAUGUCACACAUGAGAGAGACAGAGAGAGGAAGAGAGGGAGGGAGGGAGGGAGAGAGAUGAGAAUAUCUAGGAAGACGGUAUUUUAACAAUAGUAUCUAUGUACAUUUUUUUUAUCAUUUCUAAAACUUUAAUUAUGACAUAGUAUUUUUUUUUUAUUUUAACUUGGAUGGAGAAAAAAAGGGAGGAGGUAAAGAAACUGCAUACUAUUUAGAGUAUUUAAGGCCUCUAAAAAUUCCUAAGUCUGGUCCUAAGAAUUGAUUAUCAUGAGCGACCCAGUCGUGAGGACAAAGAUGGGGCCAGGUUCCUGGAGUGGGGAUCUGAGGUUGGACUUUGGUCUCAGGAGAAGAUCAGGAACCCAGUCAUCAGUGGGGCCAGGUUUGGAGUCUGGAAUCAGCAGCAGGAUAGACUAAGGCGGCCCCGGGCUGUGUGUGUCCUAUCUGGCCUUCCCAGGUCCACUAAUGGUCCUGCUUGUUUCACAGCCUUGAGAUGGGCUGGUCUUCUCUAAUGAACAGUCAGGGGUCUCAGCUGAGAAUGAAAGAGAGCGAAGGAGAUGUGGAAGCCAGGAACAUCCUGGACAAGUCUGGAACAUCCUUCUGAUGGUUUACAGAUGAGCAAAUGGGAGGGUCGUAGAGGGAGACAAUUUCCUGCAGCUGUGCAGCCUGAACUCUGCCACUCUGGGAAAAUGCAGACACAAUCUAGGGAGGACUGCCAGGUCCCAGGUGUGGGACAGCAUCCUGUGCAUGUGCUGCAUUUCCUUGGGACCAUGGAGCUAAUUCCAAGCCUGACAGUGUACCCCAGGCUAUGUUUACAUUUUUUUUGUAAAUAUGCAUUAUUUAUUGUAAAAUUAAUGUUUUAUAUUAUUACUAAAUUACCUAUAAAAUAUUUACAUGGGAAAAUUUUUUCUGAAGAUUCUAUAUUCUGAAUAUUGCUAUAUUCUAUAUAUUCUAUAUUCUGAAUAUACUCUGAAUAUAUUCUGUAUUUUGAAUAUCACUGCAUACUGGACUGGGAAUCAGGAGAUCUGGGUUUGGGUUCUGGCUUUUGACUGUGAGGCUCUGUGAUUUUAGGCAAGUUCAUUCAUUUCUCUGAUUUUCUCAUGUGCAAAAUAAGGAGGCAGGACCAUGGACCAUCCAAGAUCUUUUUCAGCCAUAACACUGUAUGGUUCAAUUCCUCUAGACAGGUACAAGACAGGCAGCCCUCCACGUGCAGCAAUCUGUGAGCCUUGUUAGUGUUUCCUCCAAGCACAUAAAGGAGCAUGUGCCAGCAGGAAGAAGCUUAUCCCAGUGUGGAUCAGAGAGAGACCUCUAAACUGCAACUAUAGAAGGAAGUUGGGAAUGUAAGGAGUCAACCAGUGGCUAAGAAUAUGGGCUUCAGAGAAAGGCCCCUUUGUGUGUGAGCGCAGUUUUGCUGCUCAUUGUUUUAUAAUCUUGGGCAAUUUGUUUAAUCCUCUGAACUUUGAAGACCUUCUCUGCAAAAUGAAACUAAUACUAAAUAUUCCUGGAGGUGUUCUGAGGAUUAUUUUGGUUAGAAAUGUUAAAUGCAUUUUUCAGUUGAUAUGGCAUCUGAUAAAGGCCCAGUAAACUUUAAUUAUUAUUUUUUAUUACUGAUUUAUCCAAGAAUCAACCAUGAGACAACAAAUCCCCUUCCAUCUCCUCAAAGAUGUCUAUCAAAUUCUCGCCCACAGAACCCUUCUGGAUUCCAACAUAUUUAACUCUGUGUUCCUUUACCCACUGACUUGUUGUCAUAUAAAAUAGAUCAUAAUUAUAGAUAAAAAGGUAAUAAUUUGUGGAAUAUGCUAUUAGUCCACACCAUUUGAAUAUAAUUUUAUGAUUAGCCAUUAUGUUAACUUUUUAUUGCAAAUUCUAGGAAGAUUUGAACCACAUAGUGAUUGAUGUUAGAGCAUCUUGUUCUGGUUUUCAUGAGAUAAUAUUCAUUGAUGUUUAUUAUCCUUGAGUUAUUAUUUAAAGUGUAUCUUUAAGUGUCCUGAUUUAGACAAUAUUUGCUCUAUUUAAGUUAAUUAGAUGUUAGGUUGAUGGUUAUCUCUACUUAGAUCUCUUUAGGAACAAUUUAUCAUAAAAAAAGCCAAAUUACACAUGUAAUAUUUCAACUUUGGUCAUUUUUCUGAGUGCUCAUUUCUUCUCCAUAUGAGCAUGGCCUAAAAGGGACUUGAAUCUGCCAAAGAUGGCUACUUAGAAGUUUCCACAGAAACAGAUGUCUCAAGUAUGUCCUGAUUCAUUGUCUUCUUCCUUCUCUUCCUCUUCCUCUCCCGGCUCCCUUCCUCCUCCUCCUCCUUCUCCUAAUGCUGGGAAUCAAACCCAGAGCCUUAAACAUGCCAGGCAAGCACUCUAUUGCUGAGCUACUUCCUCAAUCCCCAAGUCUUAAAGUCAAACUGGAAUUGUAAUUUGAAGAAAAUGAUUAGGAUAAACCUGGAUAAUAUUACAGAGAUUGUGAUUCCUCAUUUCUUUCUUCGUUUUUUCCCAUAGUGCUGAACAUCGGGAUGUGGUGUGAGGAAUACCAUAGUCACAGAUAGUCCAUUCUUACCUUCAUGGGGCUCAUAUUUUACUGAAGGUCAUAAAAAAAAAACAAAUUUCAUCAAAAAUUUUUUUCAGUAGGAAGAAAUUAUUAGAAAUCAAGACAAGUUUAAAAAAGGAACAAAGAAAGAGCCAAGAUAGAAAGUAAUAAAAGUGAGGAAAAUAAUGUUCAUAAUGGGGUUGUUGGGAGAAGUCCUCUAUGGGAUAAGACAUUUAACAUAAGGGCAAAGGAGUAAAAGUAGGAGAGAUUCUGAAUCAGGAAGGAUUUGGUCACAUUUACAGAACUAAGAGGACUGGUGUGACUAGCUAUCACCAAGUAAGGGGAAAGAAAGCCUGGCAUGAGAUGAGGUGGAGGGGACAGGGGACAGAUCAUGCAGGGUCUGUGGUAAAGAAACUAGAUUUUAUUCCAUGUGAAAUAGAGGGUGCUUUAGCCAGCUAUUUUGUCACUUGUCAAUAAACCUGAUGAGAACAGCAUAGAAGAAGAAAAGUUUAUUCUGACUCAUGGUUUCAGGGUUUCAGUCUGUGGUUGGAUGACUCCAUCACUCUGAGCCUAUGAUGGUUUAGAUGUGGUGUCCCCCCAAAACUCACAUCUGAGAAAAUGCAAGAAGGUUUGGAGGAGAAAUGGUUGGAUUAUAGCUUUAACCUAACCAGUGAAUUAAUACCUGAUGGGAUGAAUUGAGUGGUAACUGGAGGCGGUAGGGUGUGGCUGGAGCUGGGAAUUGGGGGGUAUGGCUUGGGAUGUAUAUAUUCUGUAACUGGAGAAUGGAGUCUCCCUCUGCUUUCCCAUCAGGAUAUGAGCUGCUUCCCUCUGCCACACUCUUCCAGCAGAUGUUCAGCCUCACCUUGAGCCCCAAGGAUUGGAGCUGGCCUCCUAUGGCCAGUUCUAAAACCGUGAGCCCCUAAAUAAACUUUUCCUCCUCUACAGUUGUUCUGGUUGGGUCCUUUUAGUCACAGCAGUGAAAAAGCUGACUAAAACAGCCCAAGGUGAGGCUCAACAUCAUGGCAGAGGGUGUGGAGGAGGAAAGCAGCUUAGGACAUGGCAACAAUAAGAAGAGAGAGAGAGCUUCGGUCCACCAGGGACAAAAUAUAAAGCCCAAAGGCACACCCCCAGUGACCCACCUUCUCCAGCCACACUCCACCUGCCUACAGUUACUACCCAAUUAAUCCGUAUCAGUGGAUUAAUUCACUGAUUAGCUUGCAUCUCUUAUAAUUUAAUCAUUUCCCCUCUGAAAAUCCUUGCACUGUCUCACUCAUGAGCUUUUUGGCCUAAACCUUAACAGAAAGUGAUUAAAGAGUUUUAAGCAGAGGAAUGACAUGAUCUGAUUUAUGUUUGAUAUUAAUCUGAUACAGUAUAAUUUACUUUAUUACUAUGUGGAGAAAGAAUUGAGUUGAGCUGGGAACAAAAAUGGAAAGAAAGACACCAGUUGGGAGGUAUAAAGUGGACCCAGGUGAGAGAUGAUGGUGGUGUGGCUGGCAGGGUAGUGGUGGAGAUAAACAGAUUCACAACUAUUGUUCAGGUUGAUAGGACUUGCUAGUAGAUUGAAUGGUGGGUAUGCAGGAAAGUGAAGAGUCAAGAAUGACCCCAUGGUCUUGGCUCCAGAUGCUGGGAGGUUCUAGAGGGAAGAUAUGUGGAGGUGGAAAGUUAAGUUUGGGGACCAGGAAUCAAGGUUUGUGUUCUGAUAAUGUUAAACAUGUUAAAUCAGAGAAACAUUUGAGAUAUCCAAGUGUAGGCAGUUGGAUAUAUAAAUAAAGAUCUCUGAUGAUCUGUGGUUGUGAAUUUGGUACUCAUUAGCAGUGGAUUAAUUCACUGAUUAGCUUACAUCUCUUAUAAUCUAAUCAUCUCACCUCUGAAAAUCCGUGCACUGUCUCACUCAUGAGCUUUUGCCUAAACCGUAACAGAAGGUGAUUAAAGAGUUUUAACUCCAUGGAGUUAAACGUUGAGAAUGAUGGGAUCAGCCAUGGAGAGCAUAUAGAUGGAUGAGAAAAAGAGGGAGAAGAGAGAAAGGAAGGAGGAAGAGGAAAAGAAGAAAAGAAAGAGGAAGGAAAAAAAGAAGGGUGAUAGGACCAAACUCUAAGGAAUAUUAUUAACCUGUGAAACUGAAAGGGGAGGUAGAGGCAACAGAGGGAAAAAAGACAAAAGCCAUUGAAGUGAAGAAAACAGAGGAUGGUGUGAGGAAAACCAAGAAAAGAGAAUAUUCUUAGAAAGAGGAGGUGGUACAGGGCUGGGGUUGUGGCUGAGCAGUAGGUAGAGCACUUGCCUAGCAUAUGCGAGGCUCUGGGUUCGAUCCUCAGCACCACAUAAAAAUAAAUAAAUAAAAUAAAGGUAUUGUGUCCAACUACAACUAAAAAAUAUUUUAAAAAAAAGAAAGAAAGAGGAAGUGGUAAGUUGGAUGAGCAACCAAAUUAAAUGAGAUCAGAGAAGUGUCCCUUGGAUUUGGUCACAUGGAAGGAGAUGGUUAGAGACCUGACAGGAGCAGUUGAAUCACUGUCUUUAGAAUUAGGGUAUCAUAUAAUGGAUACAUUACUCUGCAUAGAUUUUCUUGUGAUUCACAAAGAUUCAAAAUUCAAGUGAAUGACCUGAAAAUAGAGGCUCCACUCUUAUGCUUGCUCACUACGAUGGCCUCAGCAAGAAACUUAAUGGGAUCUUAGCAGACAGUGAUGGAGGGUUGCUGGGACUUGGGAAGCUUGGAAUGGGCAGGGUGGUGGGUACAUUUGUACAUUGUAGUUUAUAUAAUGCAGGUUGAAGAUACAGUGGAAUGUCCAGAAAUGUUUGUGGACUGAUUAAAAAAGAACAGAAAGGAAAAAAAAAUUCACUGCAGUUCAACUCCUUUUCUGUUUACUUCAUGAGAGGCAAUGGAGACCACGAAGGAACAGUUGCAUACAUGUCCAAUAAGGAUUUCUCUAAACAAUAUAGUAAAUGAUUUCAUUUUCAUUAUUUCUCUGUGGAGUAAGUGAGGUGUUAUACAGCAUUGCUAUCCUGAUCUUGAAGACUACACAAGUUGGUCAAGACUGCAUAGCCACACGUUCCCCAAGUGGGCUUGAGUCCCAGGCCUGUGGGUUUCCCAUUCCUUCGCAGGGAAGGAGUUGUGAUCCACAGCCCUUACACUACUGCCCUGGAGCAAGACCAUUCUCUUGAUGCUUUUCUUCUCUGUUAGGUUCCUUCCUCUUUUCUAUGGGUACUCUUUCAUUUCUUCCCUUUUCCCUUUUGGUCUUUCUUUAUGUGGUGGCUGGAGAACCAAAGAGGAUUGAGGCCCCAUCCCUCACCCCUUUCUCUUGUCUUUUCAUUCUGCGAAUGGCUCAGUGUUGAAGAGCAUAAAAAACAUGCCCAAGGUAAAUGGAUGAUUUAUGAGAUGGGAGGGAAGGAAGGACUGCACACAGGCAAGGUCAUUAUGUAAGAGACCGUGAGGGCUGUGCACAUAUGAUUCAAUUCUCAACAGGACUCAUAAUAUCACUUUCAUGUGUGGGGCUGAAAAACCCCUUUUAAAAAAUUCUUUUGAGUGAUUAGAAUCAGGUGGUCAUGUACAGUGUGGCCAUUAUUCCAAAAAUGAAACCAAAACAGACAUAUAAACACUCCACACAGUUUUCUCAGCUUCACUGUGGAGCAUGGAGUCCUGAGCCAAGCCAGAUGGACAGGGGUCCCCAGUGUCACUGGCAGCAUCCUUGUGAGAACUCUGGUGUGAAAGCCACUAAAGGAGCAGGAUUUUGGAGGCUCAGAGGACACAAGUGGCUGAGAGGAUUUCUUGAGGACAUCCCUGAUGGGAUCAUUUAAAAAUAUCCCUCCCAGAGCAGGACAUUGUGCACCUUCCUGGCUACCUGCUCUCAUAAUUCUGAGUUGCCCAUUGACCACAGCAAGAAAGGGAUGGCUUUAGUAAAUUCCUCACACUGAUACUCUAAUUAAAAGAAAGUCCUUCUAUGUUCUGUAGCAUUCAAAAGCGUCAUUGUAAUAAAUGUAUGUGGAAAUAAAGCCUUCCUUUGAUUGCCUUGUGGCACAGGGAGAACUGGCCACAUUUCCACAGCAGAGAUGCUGGAGAGAGAGGACCUCUUUAAUGUGCUAUGCAAAUUUAUGAAAACAACAUGCAAAUCAGUGGAGUUCAAGUGACUCACAACAAACAAAUGACAGGAAAGAGAGUGACCAUUGUGUCUUGUAUGGGAUUCUUGGCCAUAUAGGGUUGUCCAGGUGUGCAAGUGUGUGCGUGCAUGUGUGUGUUUCAGUGUGUGUGUGUCUGUGUUUGUUUCAGAAUGUGUGUUUGUGGAGUGAAAGGAGAAGAUGUAGGGCAGCAGUGAGAUCUGAGCACAACAAGAAAAUUAGAACUUCAACUCUAUUUUGCUAUUUCCUUAUACCCAAGAAGUCCUUCCCCUGUCAGGAAUAAUAAUUAUUAUUUGGAGUAGAAUAGGGUUAUAGGUACAUUGCAUUAUGCAGAAGUGAGUGUUGUAAUACAGAAAAAUGUCCAGGACUAGGAAUCAGGGUAGGAGGAGAAGUCUCUUAAAUGCGGCCCUGAGGUCCUGCUGGACCACAGGUUAGAGGAAUCAGCUCUGGCACGCUUCCGUACAGUUCUUACAGGGCCAACGGCAUGUGCCUCUCUGGAGCUUGCAUCUCCCUUGUGCAUCACAUUCUGGGUACCCAGAAAAACCCAAGAUUUCUAGCACAGAAGCUGGCCUGCUGCAUUGUUAGGAAGUUAUGCUUGUCAAGGGAGGAGAUGGACUACAUUUCAUAGUUUACUAGCUCUACGGGGACAUUUAGAUGGCUAGCUUUAUAGAUGACAGCCCCUUCCUACUCCAGCACUUGUAUCUCCAAGUAGAAGAGGACCUGGACCAGGGACAUUUUCUGGUCUUGGGUCAGCCCUGAGUGGUGGUAUCAUCUUGAGCAAUUUCCUCUCUGGGCCUUUGAUGCCUUAUUGCUCAAUCAGGAUCAGGGAGAAGCUGUACUGGAUGAGCAUUAAGGGCUCCGGAAGGUAAACAUCUCUGAGAAAGUUGGGACCUUUAGAAAAACUCUCCUGUGCCUGUGACCUAUAGGAAUUGUGAUGUCAAAAGGAGGGUUCCACACAGGUUGUGUAUUCACAAUUUCUGAGUUACAACGAAUUCAAUGGUUUAAUAAUCUUACAUUCUCAAAUAGCAUUUAUCUUGGUAUGUAUUUGCAUACAGUUGUAGGGGGUUAUACUAUUGAUAUAAUUCAGUUUAAUUAUGCCUUCUUGGAGUUAAGGCCUUCUGAACUUAGUAGUUGAGUUUACACAAAUAACAUGCAAAUAAGAAAACAAGUGAUUUAAAGAACCCACCCAAACAGGACUGACCACCAUAACCUGGGUUAUGGUUGUGGUUGGCACCACAGCUAGGUUAUGUCACAGUUGUCAACAUUUAUCUGACUUUUAAACACUGUACCAGGGUGAUACAUGAAUGAAUUCGUGCAAGUCCUUUUCAUUCAGGACAAAUAGGUGCCCUGCAAACCCCUUGUGUGGCAAAAUCUGAGGCAAACUACUCCAGAAGCUACACUGAGCACAUAUUCCCACCUCCCACUCCCAGGCCAGUCUUCCUCUUAUUUGUCCCCUCCCUCUUCUCCCCUCAUGAAUAAUUAGCUGGCAUACCCAGCAGCCAAACAGGUGCUUACCAGAAGGGGGGCAUGAUAAACCUGUGCUUUCCUUUCUUCCAACUUUGCAGAUAAGCAACCCAAAUACCCCAGUAUGCCUUGAGCCCCAUUGUUUUACUGUGUCUGAUGCCAAAUGUUGUCCCUCCCAGGCUGAGCAGGACUACUGGACCGGCUUGCUCACCCCUGUCCUUCACGGCAUGGAGAGACAGCCUUGGUUUAUUCUCCAAUAGCUCACAGGCAGAAAUGUCACAGUAGCAGAAUGUGGCCUGGAAGCCCCAGAACCAUUCCUUGUCCCUGACUUCUAUUGCUCCACAAACUCAGGUUCAAUAGUCCACUGAAACAUUGUCCAAUAAAAAUGUACUCUAAGCCACAAGAGAAUUUAAAAUUUCCUACUACCCAUAGUAAAAACAUAUAAAGAAAUAUUUUCAAUUUAUUUUAAUAAUAUACUUUGUUUAACAUAAUAUAUCUGAAAUAUUAUCAUUCCCAUGUAUAAUCUAUAUAAAAUUAUUAAUGAGAUAUUCAAGCUAAGCCUUCAAAAUUUGGUACUUUUUUUUUUUACACUCUUUGUACAUUUCAUUUGGGAUUAGAAACAUCUGAAGUGCUCAACAGGCACAUGUAGGCUUUGGGUUGUUGGAUUGAAUAGCAAAGGGCUGGAGCCUUUGACUUUCCUGACCCUUUGCUUAGGACCACAGGAGGCUGAGAUGAGACACGGGGAGAAAACUGGCUCUCAAAUGUGUGCACUGCCUUUUUGUAAGUAUGGUUUAUCUUUGCAGUAAUAUGAAUAACCAUCCCAUCCUAUAUGCCUACUUAUGUAAUUAAUUAACAUUUAUAUUGAAGUUUAUGUUUGCAGAGUGUUUUAUUGAUGUAGUUGCCAGUAUAUUUAUCUACUUGCAUGUUUAUAUUUCCAUGUGUGCCUACCUGUGCUAAUUACCACUAUAAUUAUUGAAGUUGUUUAAGAACACAACUCAUAGUUACCUUCAAUAGAACCAACAACUAUUUUAAUAGCAACAAUAAAUUCCAUCUUCCCUCUCCAAGUUCUGUCUACUUCACUAAGAGAUUUUAUACCUCCACCCAAUAUUCUCCAAGUUCUUGCUAUGCCUCAGAGUGAAAAACACAUUUAAAAGCAAUCUAGUAAUUGUCUUUUCCCCUUUGUCAGCUUAAAUUUCAUAGGAAUGAGAUAGAAAUUUAAUGGCACAUCUUCCAGCAACCAAAGCAUCAAAAUACACAGCAUUCCAACUUGAGAAGGAUUAUUACAAAUAAUGACCACCACCAUCAAAUAAUGCUAUCUCUAAUACCGAAUGUCAUUUCCUACUCAUCCAAAGAGUCCGUGAGCAGGAGGGGGAUGAGAGUGGAAGUAGGUGGAGAUGGGGACCUUGUGCUCUGGUCACCGAGGUCAUGUAUCCUGCUUGGACUAUGCACCUGAUGCUCUGAGGAUGGAAGCAGUCUGGGCCUGUUGAAGAGGCUGGCAGAGGCAGGCAGAAUGGAAAGAGGGGAGUUUGAAUGAGCAGUUGUGAGGUGAAAGAAACAUCCAGUAGUGGUGUUGUUGGGAGAUUUGAAAGAACAUUCCACCUUACCCAUUCCCCUCCCCAUCCCCUCUCUCCCUCCCCCCAAAUCAAUGAGGGGGAAAAAUUACAGUUCUCCAAUUCAUUCUGUGGUUCUGCUGCUCUCUGUGAUUGGAAAUGCCAGUUCGGGGAAUGAUAUACAUCAUGUGAUGAAAAGAAAGUACAAAAAUAUUCACCCACAGCUAAGAAAUGCAGCUGCCUCUGCGGCAAAACCGGCGGCUCUUCAAUAGAACAGAGCAACACCACCCAAGAGACGAGACACCAACUCCCGCUCUGAAGCAAUUUUGUGAGCCCAAUAUUGGGGAUUAGAGCUGAACAUGAGAGAUCUUAUGCCACAAAUCACUCUAUACCCAAUGCUUCUGCUACCUACUCUGCUGUCCCCUGGGGAGAAUCAUUAAGCCUCUUUGUGUCUCUCUUUAAAAUGGGAGCUAAAUUAGUAAGUUACCACAAAGGAGUGUUUUCUUAAUUACUUGCGUACAAAUUACUUGACAUUAUUGAAUGAAAAGUAUCAAGGAGAAUGCAAGCUAUUACCGUGAUUAUUUUUGCUCUAAUAUAAAGCAGCAAGCCAGAGCCCUUUCUAUCUCUGGAUUAUGUUUCAGAUCAGUGAUACUUCAGGGAAUGGUUUCCUAAGGCUCUGACCACCGUUAGUACAAGCAGCAUUUCAAAGGUGAAUUGAGAGAGGCCAGCAUCCCGAUGCUGAGUUUUGAUUGAUGUGGAGGUACAAUUGGAAAGAAAGAACAGAUCCAGGAGAGGAAAUGAGGGCAUGAGCAAUGGCCUCAUCCUGUGUGAUCACAGAUGAAACUACUAGUCCUGGGUAACCAAGAGCUGCCUUUUGCCCUGCCAUUGGGUAUCCCAGACUUGGUAGUGAGGGCACCCAGAUAGAUGGUUGCAGGAUGACACUUGAACACCCAUUUGUUCUGAGGCAUCAGACAUGCUCACAGGCACCAGAAAUAAACAUGGACCAACCCAAUGUGAUAUUGCUAGAGAAGACAAAGAGAGAGGCUUUCCUCCAGGUUAUCUCUAAGGGCAGGUGGAAGAAGGGAUGCAAGAGGCCAAAUAUAAGACAAAUACAAGAAGCACCCUUUCCUCGAAAUCCUGCCAGAGCCAAGCCAAUGUCACAGUGAGCACACCCAUCCUAAUGGGUGGUGGUCCAGCCCAGGAGGGAUCUAUGAAUAAACCCAACCUGCCUAGGGAAUUCAAACUAAUAGUGAUUGACCCUGAUUUGCUCUUGCAUCUUUGAAUCACGCUGUGAUUGUGUCUUCAUUAGGAAUGUGGGGUUAAGAGAAAGUGACACAAUACGGUAAUUAUGCUAGAAAAUUGAGUGACAUUAGAAUCAGGCCUUGGAACGUUUUCUGUGGAAUUCCUUUGAUCAGCCAUUUACUCUGUUGGAGAUGGUACUGCUGGAUGCAGUCCAGUGGGAUGGCAAGGGAGAGGAGGUCUAUUACUCACUGAAUCUCUCUUUUAUACAUAGAGUUGUUUAUAUACUUUCUGAAAAUUCCUUCUUAUGAAUUCCAGUAUAUUAUUUUUCCUAUUAAUGUCUUAAUGAUAGUGGCAGGAGAAUGUUUAAACCCCAUUUCGCUGAUGACUCUCUCUGUAGAAAAACUCUCUCCUCCCAAAUGCAAUUUUCUGUCCAUUCAUUAAUUGUACUGCUGCUUUCCUAAGUUUAUUUACUGCUUCUAAAUAUGUAUCUUAAUUUAUGCCUCUAGUCCCCCGGGGAGCCUAUAAAAUGUAAAAUCUUAUAUAAUAGCAGAAGCAGUCACAAAUAUUUUAAUAUCCAGGGCUGCUUCGGAAUCCUAAUUUUGCAGAUGGCGUGAUGUUCAUUUUAUAGCAGCUAUUGAAAACUAAUAAAUGCCGUCCACAUCACUCAGCAUUGUCAAUAAUCGGCCAGAUUGUGUGCCGGGGGAUGCUGGGGAAGCAGGAUCGGCUCUCAGCCCAUCCCUUACCAGCCUCCAGCUGCAGACCCCGUAGCUGCCUUGCCUUAUCAGCUGCCAUGAUUCUAUGCAGGUCAGCAACAAGGCGAAGCUUUUUGAACUUCUAAUCUGCCAGUGGAGAGAUACUUGCAAGAGGGUAAUUGCUGUGCAGGGCAUGCAGGGGAGGGAGGUGAGUGCAUCUUCUCCCCUGAUUAUUGAAUUUGCAUUCCUCAAAUGCAAGAGGGGAGCAAGGGAGAAGGAGCCGUGAGGCCACCACCAGGUCUGGUCUGGAAGUCAGUGGAGAAGUCAUACAUCCCAUAUUGUAGGCCUUCUUUUUAAUUUUCUUUCUUUCUUUUUUUUUUCCUUUUUGGUAAAUUCUCUCUUUAAGCAAAACAAAAGCUCAUAUGAUAAGGGAACAGUAAGGGGUUCAGAAACAGAUUCAGUGAAUUUAUCAUUUAUUCUUUCAUUCUUUAUUUUGCCAAGUAGUUAUCAAGUUUCUACUGUUUUCCGGGCACCGUGCAAGAUUAUGUCUGUGUCUAUGUGUUUAUUUGUGUCUCCAUAAACUUACAUUCAGUGAGAAGUUAUGUCACACUUCCCAGUGAUCCCUGCCCUAAAGGAACUUACAGUCUCCAAGAGAGUUUUUCCAUAGAGUAAGCCAGAGUAGGAAGUAGUAAGGGCUGUACUAGAGCAGAGAAGAGGAGAGAGUCUAUUUCCAACCUUGAGGAUGGAGGAAAAGGUAGGAAUCCAGAUAGACUGCCCUGGGGAGAUGACACCUGGACUGGGUGUUAUGGGAAGGUGUCAUUUGGCCCUCUUGGAUCCUGAAAGAUCAGUUGAUGUCAAACAAAGCAGAGUUCAACUCCCUCUUUUCCCUUCUAAUCUUCUGGGAGAUGGUUGCCUUCUUGUGAAAACUUCUAUGCUUUUCCCUUUUACAGCUGUCUUUGCUGUUUCCUUGAACUGGAUUUCAUCUGGAUGCAAAUUCAGAAGGAGCAGGAGGGUAAUCUGCUUUUAGGCAGUCCCGGGAGAUGGUCUGUGAAAGCUGCGCAGAGCAGCGUAUCCAGAGUCUUGAUGAGAUGCAUUAGUUCAGAGGAGGCAGAAAACGGCUGGCCCCAGAGCAGCUUGGACGCAGAGGAGCAAGUAAAUGGUUCAAUGGAGUUUUGUCUUCAGAUUCAUCCAAGUCACCUAGAUGGGAGCUAUAGAGAGAGAAAGCCUGGCUGCCGGAACUCUUUGUUCUGCAGUCACCUGGCCUUAAAUUACCUGAAUUUUUUAAAAAUGAAAAGUUGUGCCCAUUGAUCAUAAUUUUAUCAUUUGGGAAUCUGCCUAACACCCAAACCCAAAAACAAAUGGAUCAGAUCUAAUCUUUCAGUGGGCUGCUUCUUGCCUUGCUUUCCCUCUGCUUUCCCUCCCUCCCUCCCUCCCUCCCUCCCCGGAGCUUGCUUUCUCUCUUUCUUUCCUCUCCUUUUUCCUCUCCACCCUCCCUUUCUUUCUCUUAUAGUUUUUUACCAAAGAUAUAAAAUAAAUGAUUUUUUUAAAGGAGGCUGCGUGGGGUGAGGUGGGGAGGAAGAAGUCUCAUACAUUGCCCUUGACAGGAAAGAGGAAAUCUCCACUGUCACCUCCAUAGCUUUCAGUCCCCCUAGAAUGAGGAAGUCCCUGAAUCAUAGAAACAUAUCAGAUAAAGCCUCAGGCUGUGGUGUGAAAGAAACACCAAGUUUGAGCCAGAAGGCUUCCCAUCCAUCUGUACUCAGGGACUCAUAGAAAGUUUUGGGCCUGGUCUUAGGGCAGAAACAGGAAUUAGGCACAUGGUGGAAGAAAUGUUUUUUUGUGUGUGGAAGGAACUACAAAAUGUUAGAAUUGGAAGGAACAAGAAGGAACAUCUUCAUCUGAAAGGAUGAACUGGGGUGUCCAUCCAUAAGAACACACUGGAAACCAAUGAUCUCUCUGUUCCAGAAUGGAAAUGACAGGGCUGGUGAACAGCACUCAUUUCUGCCUGGAUGCUGUGCACCAAACCCAGAGUGGAGGAACAACCCAUUAUUAUUAUUUUUUUUAAGAUAGCAACCACCUCGUCAAGCAGAUAAGGAAACUGAGGCCCAGAAUAGUGAGCUGAUUUGUUCCAGCUCCUAGAAAUUAGCUGUAGGUUCAAGAGAAUCCAGAAAGAGGUGAGAAAAUAAUGAUGAUUCACAUUCUCCAUCUCCCUAGUCAAGCACUCAGGUGAGUGCCUCUUUUUGGUAAGCUGCAAAUGGCUGAACAUUUCACUCUUCCCAGGGACAGCAGAAAUAAGUGGUGUCCAAAAGAACUCAUCUAAGCAUGUGUUACUGCACUCAGUACGACAAAUAUGACCCUGAUGGUACGCGCCCAGCUGACAGUCUCUGGCAAUUCAUGCACCUCUCAUUCAUGGUGGCAUGGAUUUGGUAAGGAAGGGUCUGAAAAAGAAUUUGCAGACCCAUUCAUUGGGUGACCCAGCAAACUAGGAUGGGGUUCUGACAUGGCUGAGUCAGUCAAGAGAGGCUGCCCAGCAGCUUGGGUACUAUUCAGAGAUGACUAACGUGGUGAUUUUAUUGUAUCACAAUAUAUGUUUAUAAAUAUAUAAUAUAGAGCAUAAAUAAAAUAUUUAUAUUAAAUAUGUAGAGUAUAUAAAAUUUAUAUAUAUAAGAUAAAUAAUAUCAUUUUAUGUAUAUUAAUUUGGGGGGGAAGCAUAUAUACUUGAGUUAGACUAAAUUAAAUGUAUAUAUGAUAUCACUUGACUGUAAUAUCACUUAUUUUUAAGGGAGUUAGAGUGAAAAUUAAAGCCAGAGUGUGUGGGACUCCCUGCCACUAAUUGAGCUGAUCCCAGUCAAGAAGGAGGCAUGGGUAUAUAUUCAACAAAUAGUAGCUGUUUUUCCUCUUCUUGUGGCAGUUGAGUUUCAGUAGCCAAGAAUGUGGACUGUUAUUCUGGGGACAAGUAUUUGAGUGACGAGACUGUAGUCUUGGAAGAUUUAUAGGAGAAAGACAGAGCACCCUGAUUCCUUGCCAAAGGGGGAUUCAAUGAUCAUCCUAUAGGGAGACCAGUGACUAGGAUGAGGGACUGUCAAAUGUCAGGAGUGGGCCCCAAGUGAGAGGCCUGUUCCUGAUGCAGUACCACUGAGGUAGGUAGGAGUAGAAGAUGAGGCAACAGGAGUCCAGAGCACACCAGGCACCCAGAGACCAUUGGAGACUCCACCCCACCUUCAGUUUUGUAAGAGAAAGCCUUAUUGGAACCAAUGCUGGAAGCAGCCAUGGUUGGGCCUGGGCACUGGGCCAGAGAACAGGGUGGCUGUGGAGGGACGAGGGAUCAGGUGUCCAGAGUGAUCUGGAAGUACACCAUUUCUACAGCCCCAUGGGGACAUAUUGUUGCUGGCACCAUUAUUCCUGGAGGGAGAUGAAGCAGUGGCUUUCCACUGUGAUUGAAACAAAAGAAAGGAGAACACACUAAAGUUCUCCAACACUGAAAGGAUGAACUGGGGUGUCCAUCUAUAAGAACACACUGGAAACCAAUGAUCUCUCUGUUCCAGAAUGGAAAUGACAGGGCUGGUGAACAGCACUCAUUUCUGCCUGGAUGCUGUGCUUAUUCAGACCAAACCCAGAGUGGAGGAACAACCCAUUAUUAUUUUUUUUAAGAUAGCAAAUUCUACUGUAUUUAAAAUAAUCAUCCCAGAUAAGUGAAGAGUUGAUAAAUGAGCUCAAUCUGCAUAGCGCCUUGUAAGAGCAGAGCUGUGUGUAAUUACACAAUUGCCCUGGGGGCUGUCGCUUUAUUCUGCUGAGUAGAAAAGGCAAUGCCUUGUGAAAUGUGAAGCCAGGGCUCUUGCGGGUAAGCAAAAGGAAGGAUUUCAUCCCACCCAUUGCUCCCUUUGCUUUGUCAGAGAAACUCCCCAAAGAGAAACAAGGUAUUGUCAACUCUAAUUGAAGGGGUCCAGCAUUGCCUCUGGAGAUGCUGUGGGACUUCUUAUUUAAUACGCACACACAGCCGUGUGGUAUAGGCCCUCUGACAGCCAUAGUUAAGACAGGCAAGUUUAGAGGAUUUUAAAUCCACUGAAAAGAUAGAAAUCACAAUGAGAGGGAGAGUGAAUGCAGGUGCAACUGAGAGAAACCAAAACCAUGAAGGGAGGUGAGAGCCACCGGGAAAAGAACUGCCUCCAUCACCGCCAUCAUGAGCUACGCAUUUCCCCUUCUCAUGCUGAGUUCUUCCGUGAAGAAAUCAUUUUCUCAGUCCUACCUUUCUUUGUCCUUCAUUACUUAUUAGGUUUUCUUUUUCAACCUAUUGGAUUUCUCUUUUCAAACCACCCUCCCAGUGGAAGAAUGCUGAAGGCCCUGGACACAUCCUUUUUUUCACACUCAGAGAGAAGACUGAGGGCUCUGAAUUCAAAUCUUUGGGAACUGUCAGAUCAGAGGUCUGAAAAAGCAUUAGAGAACUAAGGUUCUUCAUUGUGUUCCACGAUGGGCUUCUGCAGGGCACCUCCUUCCCAUGCCCCAUCCUGCCCAUUUUAAUGUGAGCCAGAUCAUUUCCCAUUAAAAUUGGAUCAUGCGCUGCACUUUGAUCAAAAGUUUAUAAAAUAUUUUGGACAUAAUUUCAUAAGUUACAAAAUGUUAUACAAUGGAGGUCAAAUCUCACAUUCUAAAAUUCUUUGGAUACUGGGUGGUCCAGGAAAGCAAUAGCUUGAUGACAUUCCAGGAGUCAUUUAGAAGGCCCCCUUUCAACUUCAGGAAAAAUAUUGCUGCUAAAAUCAUAUCACACCAACUAAUAUUCACAAUGGGGUCCUCUCUGGUAUUCUCUUUGGUUAUAUAGUAGACCCUUAGGUAUCUCCUCAAAUUCUUUUAGUAAAAGACACUUCCUGAAUUUUAGUAGGGUACAUGGAUGUUCAUUUUUUUAAAAAGCCUACAUUUUUGUGAGAUAUGUGGCUAAAUUUUAACCAAUGGGAAGUCAGCAGAGAUUCCAUAUCUUACUUUUAUUACUGAGAAGCAAAUGGGAAGGCAGGAACUAGGGCAGCCACUUUAAGAGAAUAACCACUAGAGGAUAUUUGUCCAAUGCCAGAGGAAAGAAAAUGGAGGGCUGUGGUAGAGAAUGCUUGGCAGGCAUCAGAAUACCUUAAAUGUUCUAGUCACUUUGUUCACAAACAAGGCAUAUGAUUGAAAAAGUCAUGUAAUUCCUCAAGUCUUUGAGCCAAUCACAUUUCUCAAGGUUUUUAGUAUCUUCAUGUACUGAAUCCAAACAGUAAGAAGAGCUCAGUAUCAUAGGGCUAUUAUGGGGAUGGUAGAAGCUAUUUGAGAAUCAGGAGUCAUUUUAAAACCGAAAUAAGUUAUGGCUGAUACAAUUAUAGGCAAAAUGAACUUCAUCUAUGGAGUUAAAGCAGAUCUUUUGAUGAAAAUAUCCCGUAGGAGGAGCUUCUCAACUCAGGAUUCUACAGUCUCACUGUUCAAGAGAAAUCGUGUCAAAAAGAGAAAGCAUUUGACCCCAAGACCCAAAGCUUGCCCAGGUUAUGUAUAAGUGGCCUUCUAUGAUGCUGUCCCCUUUGAAAAAGGAAGGUUCUGCUGUCAUCAGCAGCAGACGAAUUUCCCAUUUUGACAAAUUCGAUGAAGAACAUUAUUCUGCCUAGAACCAGACAGAUAUAUAACAGCUGUACCAUCUUGUGACAAGUUAGUUGCCAUGGUGGGUAUCUGAGGACCUGCAUGUGUGAGGUUCAAAUCAGAGACGCUUGAUACUUAAAAUUCAAUGUCAGCUGUCUGUGAUCCUGCUCACCCAAUGUGCUUUAGUGUGACUUCAGAAUGAUCUAGUCCAUCCUUCACUUGCCCACUGUGAGGCUCAAAAUAUCGAGGCUCAUAGAAUUCCCCAAAGCAUCCAAAGGCCGAACAUGUUGUCUGGUCUUCUGCAUAUAUCUGAACACAAAAUUGAACAUCACCAUUUUUGAUCCAUUUUUUUUUAUCAGUACCACUCAAGUUUCAUGAGGCAGUUUUUGACCAUCCCCCAAGGUUUGCUGUAAACUUUCUGAAGCAGGAAAGCAUGGGAAAUGAUUUUACAUGGCACAUAAUAGCAAGAGGCAAGAUCUCUUAAAAUAGGCAGUUUCAAUGCAAACAGAAAAUCAUCACUGAGGUCUUAUCAUAUCGUUAUCUAUUACUUAUCUUAUUCUUAAAUGAUUAAAUGUAACAAAUGGCAUUUAUAUGGGUUGUUCCACUGAGUAGCCCUGUUAAGAAAUGUAUAAAGAUGCAUAAAGAUGCAAAAUUUAUACAUUUAUGUAUAAAGAUUUAUGCAUCUUUAUAGAAUGAAAAUAACUUUUGACACAAUAUAAAAGGAAAGAGAAAAUAAAGUACUAUUGUAAUUAUUGUAUACCACUGCCACAGACUCAAAACUAGGCAUAGACUAGUUUUGGCCCAGAAACAAGAUUGUUGAAAUACCCUAUUUCUCUAGUUAGGCAUAUGUUGGAAGUGUCAUCCUCCUCAAAGUAGAACAUCUGGUAAACUGUUGAUUUGUCUUCUCUUGGUAAUUUCAUAGGUUAGAAGUUGGAGACAGCAAUGUGGAAAUUUCUAUUUGAUUUUCAAUUCUAACCAACAAGGAAGAACUGGAUAGUGUUAUGAAAAUGAUAAAUCUCUGGCAGAAAUUGGCCCCAUUAUCUUGAAAUCCAUGAUAAUAAAGGGAGAUUUACUAGCUUAGCUUGGUGAGAAACAUAACAUUUAUAAAAUAUUUUAUAUUAACUUAGACAAAAUAUAUAAUCUAAUAGAUGUAGUUUGGGGUGUCUACCUCAACAAUGGUUCAUUUUUUUCCAAGAAUUUUGUCCUUCAAUGAUGGGUACCAGUCAAUGAUGAGACCAAGAGAUCAGCCUAGACUACCAUGUUUGCAUCCCACAACCUGAAUCAGGGAUGACCUCCAACCAAGGUCAGCCAGUGGCUAGAUGGCUAACAGAGUGUCUAGUUGGUACACUUUAAAGCUGAAAGGUUGUAGAGAAUCAGAGGUGAUUUCUGUAAUACAGUGAGCCAAAGUUAAUCCCUGAUGAAGCUAUAGGGGAGCUGAGACAAAGAGAAAGUCAAGGAAGUUCAAGUGUAAAGAGAAUAAUGGAACAAUGGCAGAUUACAUGGAGACAUAUAAUUGGAAUGGGGGUGAGGAGGGAGAAAAAGCUAAGAGACAAGACUCCCUAAAGAUGAAAACUUCAUAUAUUUUUCUUAUUUAUGUAAGUGUCAAAUAGUCUAAAUUAAUAGAGAAGGAGGCAGAGACAGAUAUUAGGAUCUCAGUUACCAACUCUGAAGUUCCACAUUUCCAGCCCUGUGAGGUCCAGUGGUGCUUUACUUUACGCCCUUGAAUAUUUAUUAUUGCUGGAUGAGGCCUGUCAAUAAGUGAUGGAUCUUUUAGGGAAUAUUUUUGUUUUUAAAUUUGAAUUGGUCGGAGUGGGUAUUUGUCAGUUAUUACCAAAACAUCCUGAAUCUUUACUGGAUGUGGCCAGAGAUUGUAAAGAUAUCCAUCCAUACAGUACAGAUUUUUCACUUUAAGUUCCCUCCCUUGAAUCUCUGCAGAGCAAACAUUCUUUGUCUAUAGUUCUCUGUCGUUGGGUCUGCGACCGGUGCUUCAAGAGUUGUCUUUCAAUAAGGAAUCAUUGUAGAAUACCUAACAAGAUGUCCUUGGCAUUCAGUAGCCUAAUUGUGGCUUCUUUAAAUAAUUCUUUCUCAUGCCUCUUCUUAAUCAUGGUUCUAUUCCUCAGACAGGCAUUCAUGGAAUAUCAUUCUUCCAUCUUUGAUCAUACACUGUGUUUAUUAAACUUGUUUUUUAAGCCUUUCUCCAUCUCAAAUGGAACAAUCCAGAAAACCACAAUUUCUCCACUAACAAGGCUUCAAAGUUCAAAUGAGUCAGCCUUUCUAUGUGAGUGACACUAGAGUCAGACAACUCAGAUUUUCUGGUUUCUGAACACAAAAUGGGUGUGUCAUUCCACAUACCACUGCUCAUUCCACAUCGCCUCCUGGAAUACAGCUAGAGGGGAAGCAAAGGUAAUUAGCUAUUCUUCUAAUCUUUUCACCAAACUCUUAGAUCAUGUUAUUUGGUGAUACCAAGUUUGGGGAUAUUUCUUUAUUGUGUGCAGUGUCAAAGUGGUUCUUUUUCCUAGUGUGUUUUCUCACUAGAGGUUGUACUCAUUUAGAAAAUGCGGACUGGUGGGCCACAGUUAUCAUAUUUGUAAAAUGGGGAUAUCAUCCUGGUGGAUAAUCCAUAAAUUUAUUUAACUUCUGAUUAUUUUAUACAAUGUUGAAGUCAAAGAAGAUUAAGUAGCAAAUGGAAAAUGGAGGGUAUAGCUCCAGCCAGUAUGGUCCAUCCAGCUCUGUCAAGAUUUGAUCCAGAUGAAUUUAAUUUAUUUGGGGAAGAGACAGACUGCUAAUUAGAGUCAUUGAUGUUUGCUUAUGGGAUCUUUUCAAAAAGAUAAAGACAUGACAAAUUGAAAUAUCUAGAUCUUGUCCGGUAGGUUUAGAGAUUUUGAAGCUGAACCAUGUAACAGGCCUCUGUCAAGCUACACUGGGAAAGCCAACAGGGAGAGAGUCAAUGCCUUUGUUGAAUUUCAAUCUGCAACUCCUGUUCAGAUACUUGUUUCCCUCUUGGAACGAUCCCCAGUGGGAACUCUAACCCCUUCAGAACCAAACUGAUGACUGUGUAAAGCAGUUCUCAGAUGAUUUGCUUGGUGCAGCUCACAAGCAUUGAACAAGUGCUACCUGAAGGAAACUCCUUGUGGUGAUACACAGCUGCUGUUGUCGUGGUGUGAUCCAUUUUCCUUUCAAAAGCCCCUUUUGCUCUACAAUUUAUAGAAACUGACUUUAGAAGAGGUAGUGCCAGUUUGACCCUUCAGUUGUCCAAAGAGAAGAGAAUCAAGUCUGUCUUCUCUGUCCUUAUUCUUUUCUCUUCCUUCAUUUCCUACCUUCCUUCCUCUUUACCAUUUUUCAUCAGCUUAUAUGGCCUGGGACUCCUCGUCUAUUUUUUUAAAAGAGGAAUUCAAUCCAUUAAGAAGGCAUUUUAAGAUAUAAAUUAACUAGAGAUUUUUAAAAAUGAGGACCACUUAUCAAAUGGAAGGAAAGUAAAGUAGGCUGCCAUACUUGGGCUUGACUUGUCCUCCUGAAGGUGGGGAAACUUGAGACUAACCACAAAGUUCAGGGCAUCAUUAGUAGGUUGUUCUUGGCUUUGAUUCAAUGGAAGAAGGUACAUAGAUGUUUGCUAGUUGGAAAGCCCUCUAGACACUGGCACUCCCACCAGGACAUCAUAGACAGGACAUCCAAGCCUUGACACCAACCCUCCUCCAACCUAGCUCAUUCUAAUCCAUGCAUUGCACUUUACCAAGUCCCAAGGGUUCUGGGUAGCAAAGAAACCAAUGCCGUGGAAAAGGUGAUCCAAAGGUGACCCAAACCCUGGGAGACAACUGGAGCCCGGCACACUCGUGACCCUCAUAAUGAGCCACUGGAUGGCACUGUGGGUCUGUGCAAAUGUGCUCAGAAGGACAUUUAUCUUUCUUUUUAAAAGGCUGUUUAGCUUUGGCAGGUAAUUUGGCACAUUUUGAGUUGAAAUGUGCCAAAUGAUUUGGCAAAUAUUUCACUUACCUCUGAAAAUAGGCACACCUGCUGUUGUGGCCUGCAGGGAGUUGGGGGAGGGUAGCAUUCACCCCAACUUCCUUGUUUCUAAUUUUAGAACUGAAAACAAGAUUUUGGUCAAGGAUACAUAAGUCAAUCCAUUUUCAGUGUGGUACCAUGUUUUAAAGAAAUGGAAAAUGUUUCAUGUUUCUUAAGAAACCAAUCUGUCCAGGCUAAAGGGAGAAUUUUUUGUCACCCCAGUGUUGUCUGUUUUGCCAAUACCUGGCACAUCUGGCUCAUGACCAGAUGGAAAGGGAUUUGGUUGAAGAACAAUGUCUUCUAAUGGUCCUCCAACCAACUAGGAAAAUCUGACGCCAAGCUUUCCAGUUCUAAAGAAUUCUCUGCCCAAUACUUGGUGUUUGUUAAAGAAGAAAGCCAGGCAACAUAAGAACAUCUCAGAAAGCAACUCUUGGCCAUAAUGAAGUGUCUGCUUUGCUGUACAUGAUAGUGACAUUCACAGUGGAUCUUCCCAUUCCCAUGGAAGAAUCCAAGUGACAGGCUGAAGCAUCCUUACACCAGCCUGCAUGUCAGGCCAAGUUCAAGCUGGUACAUGAAAUUUAACUCCAUCUCUUACAUUAUUUGCUACUCAAGAAAGCAUAUUGGGUUACAAAUGAAUACAAAUGGUGUUAUCAUUGAUGUAACUUUAAAUGUGAUCUAGUUUUUAAAGUGGUGAAACAUUUGCAAACCCAAUCACUGUGGCUCAUAUAUCUACAAAAUGACUUGGGAUCACUUCCUAAGUGGCCAAGCCACAUGCUGGGAACAGGUGAGUUAGAGAGAAGAGAUUCAGAACUCCUCUUUUUGAGUAUUGCCUUAUCAGGUACUGACUAGUAAAAGAGACAUCUUGCUGUGGCAAAUUUACUCAUCUUUUGAAAUAUAUCAAGGAAGCAUAGCACUACAGAAUGACUCUGGCUUUGAGUUUUGAAUCUUGGCUGCAGGUCCCAGGUCUACCAAUACCAAUUAUGUGAAAGUAGGGGAUGAUUAAGCCCCUACCUUGUUUUCCUACGUAAGCCUAAGAAAGGCAACUCACAUGAGCUCCCAUGGCUAGAAAAUAGGGGAAUUGUCUUCAGUUUAGGCAUCUUUAACAAAUUUAAUGUGCUCUUUUAAAAAUGUUUUUUAAUUGUAGAUGGACACAUUUAUUUUAUUUAUUUAUUUUAUGUAGUGCGGAGGAUGGAACCCAGUGCCUCACACAUGCUAGGCAAGCCCUCUACCACUGAACUACAACUCUAGCCCCUUAAUGUACUCUUAGUGUGUAUUAGGAUAAUAUGUAGAAAUUAUGAUGGAGGAUACAUUUGUUCAAAUAAAAUCUAAACUAUGUACUUAACAAUUUUCUUGAGUACAAUAAAUACCAGUGUAAAAAGAAAAAGAAACUCUUCUGGGAGUAAGAUUUUUUUUUUAAAUAAUGUAUAGCUGUCUAAUGAUGUAUAUUUGCUUUUUUGCCCUUAGAUUUUAUUUCAGUGCAGAUUAUUCAUAAAUUUUGAUCUGUAAACACCUGUUUGUUUGUUUUUUAACCAUUCUUCUGUGUCAUGGUACUUCAGGGUUUUGUCAUAUGUGGCCAGAUGAAGAACAUCAUGGAAGUUGUAGGUCACCCUGAUAAGAGGUUUCUGUGGACUGAUAGGGCAAGAACCCAGUUGCAGCAGGCUGAGAACAAAAAUGAGUGAUGAAGCACUAGUAGCAGCAAGUACAGUCGACCCUUUGUGACUGCAGGUUAUGCCUCUGUGGAUUUAACCAACUGCAGACUGAAAAUACUCAGAAAAAAAUACAUCUGUAUCGAACAUGUACAGACUUUUUUCCUUGACAUUAUUUCCUAAACCAAAUUGUAUAUCAUUUACAUAACAUUUAUAUUAUAUUAGGUAUUAUCAGCCAUGUAGGGAUAAUUUUAAAGAUACAGGAGGACAAUUUAAGUUAUUAGCAAAUAUUAUGCCAUUUUUAUCUAAGGGCUUGGAGCAUCCAUGCAUUUUGGCAUCCAUGAGGAUCCUGGGACAAAUUCCCUCCUGGAUGUUGAUGGAGGACUGUAGUGACCACUUUUAUGAGGAGUCUGCUUUAAAAGGAGGCAAAUAAAAGUCUUGUAGCUGGUACCUGAAAUCCAGGGAAAGAUUUAUUUUUUAAGAGAUACAAGAUUUCUUUCUAAGAUUCACCACAUCAGGAGGAAAUCAUGGAUAUAGCUAUUCAUAAACAUAUCUGGAGUUUUGACCAAAAGAUUGAAAUCUGGUUGUAGAUCUUGAACUCAAUUAAGACCAAGGUCAUCUUCCUGUCCCAUGCCUCGAAGCAGAGCUGUCAGGGUUUUCAGUGAGCUGAUGGAGAAGGGCCCAGGAGCACUCCUUUUUCCUGCAAAGUUAGCAGGUCUUUAUUUAGCAAACCAUUUCAGAACCGGGAGAUAGUGUCAUCCAAUUUCCUCAUUAAACUGACUGAGGUAUCUGAGGCUCAGAAAAAUUACAUCUUGAGAUUUUGUCUCAGAACAGUGGUGGAUAAAGACUAAGAAAAUGACUUUAGGUGUAGAAAACACCUGGGUUAGAAUUCCAACCCUACCACCAUUUAUCACCUCUGAGAACUGAAGUCAUCCUCAGUGUUCUCAUCAAUUGAGAGAAUUGUGUGAUAUUUGAUAAACAAGCAUCCUAAGGGGACCUUUCCUUAUGGGGUUGUUGUAAAGAUAAACAGAUAAGACAAGCAAAGUGCUUAGUACAAUGCUGACAAUAUGGCUAUGCUAACCACUAAUCUUAACUAAUAUUAAUGUAAACAUAAAUGUUAUACAUAAAUGUUAACUAAUAUGAUUAAAUGCCAAACAUAAAAAUUAACUAAUAUAAUCAUUGCCAUCAUGUGAGAAUUUGAAUACGUGGAAAUACUACAGUAUAAACUUGCAUGCAUAGAAAACAUUUUUAAAAUGUUAUGGAGAGUUCCACAAGUGGAAUGUAAUAAACACCAAAGAAGGCACACAGGCCACAAUGUUUAGUCUGAGCCUUGCUAAAGUCCAUAACCAGCUGUAGUCACCUUAUUCAAACUCUGUAACUCAUAAUUGACUUGAGGCUGAUGCCCUUCCAAACUCUUAUGUGGCCUGCUGAUACACAAUUGGUAUCUUCUGUAUAAAGACUUCAGAGCCACCUCCCAACUGGCUGGAUGCUGUUUAAAUUUUUUCUCUCAUUUUUUCCCCCUGGCUUUCCCUUUUAAAGCCAGCCAGAAGUUUAAGUAAAGCUGGUUGUGGUUGAGGGCUGCCAGGUGGCUGACAGGAGCUACAGCCAAUCCUCUUUCAACGCUUCAGAGUUGGCCGGAUAGGGAUGAAAUGGGAGAGAUGUGAAUGCAAGGCAGAAAGAAGGAGGGAGAGCAAUCAAGAAACGCAGCCCUCCCCCGUCCCACUGUGUGCCCUAAAGAUCUGUUUGCCUCCAGCAGCCUGGCCAAGCUGGGUCAUCAAAGCUGUUGAGUGGGCGCCUACCUUUGUUGUCACCUCUUAGCUGGGGCACUGGGAGGUUAUCAGAGAUUCUGUUUGUAAACGUCAAAGUAGCUUAGAAUGUUUGUUCUCUCUCUUUGGGACUAUUUACAAAGAAAAAAAAAAAAACAAAUUCCUAAGCCACCACUUUGCUCAACCUUUCCUAUGUUGGUUUUUCUUCUCACUGGAGAUGAGCCACACAGGCCUGAAUCAAAACCAAUAGAACCGCACAAGUUAAUUGGAGUCUUGAAAGGAUCAGGAGACCUGAAACUCAGCUUGAUAAGCCCCCACAGGGCUUGGAAAUGAGUCUCAUGGGAAGAAAAAAAAAAUCUGGUUUUCAUUGUCCCAUGGAUCCACUCACCAGUUCUUCAUAGUAAUCUUUGACAUAUAACUGAAUGCUUGGUUUUAAAUAAACAAUAUGUUUAUGCUUCUGCUUUACAUAUAUUGUGGAAAGAGUGGUUGAAAUGGAAAAUUUAAAUUUUAGAAUCUUGGGCUGGGGAUGUGGCUCACGCGGUAGCGCGCUGGCCUGGCAUGCGUAAGGCCUGGGUUCGAUCCUCAGCACCACAUACAAAAAAACCCAAAGAUGUUGUGUCUGCAGAGAACUAAAAAUAAAUAAAUAAAUAUUAAAAAUUCUCUCUCUCUCCCUCUCUCUCUCACACUCUCUCUUUUUUAAAAAAAUAGAAUCUUUCUACCUACUGACAUAAGUCAUAAUAUAGUAGGAAAAAGUAAAAAGGUUGUUGUUUGCUGGAUCUGAGAUAUAUGUACAUUUUUUUCUUCUCAUUUAAAUAUAAAACAGUGUCAUAAUAUCUAUAGCCUUGCUCUAAUGCGCCCUUCCUAUAUUUUUUAAAAUUGCCCUUUCUAAAACUUACUUUCUUAAAAAAAAAUGUGGUUACCCCUGAAGAGAAAGUUUCCUGAGUUCCAAGCAGUAAGAAAUUUGAUAAGAAACUUAUUGGAAGCUAUCACAACAUAAACAGGAAUUCCAGCCUGGGAUGCUGAGUGGGGGAAAUAGAACUGUUAACCUGUAGUCUAUCAGUUGAAUUUUGGCUCAGGAUGUAAUGACACAAAGUCAUUACCCCCUGAAGGUUCAUGGUCUUUGGGGAAAUGAUUGUUCAGUGGUUUCAGUUCCAUCCCUAACAGCUCAGAGUCUUCAUCAAACUGGCUGCCAUUACCAUUAGAGUUAAUUGUCACUAGUGCAGCCUGGGACAAGGAUUGAACGCGAUGGGAGAGUGAAGUGCUUCGCCUAUACUGCUAAAGGUAGUCCCUGAGCAGCUAAGUACUGUUCUCCUCCCAGACUGAUGAAAAACUGUUUUGGAAAACAAAAGGAAGUCGUGAAAAAUGUCUAUUCAUGUGUUCGGUCACAAAGUCUUGCUUUUCACACAGAAUCAUAUUUUAGUAGCAGGUGUAAUUCAAACUGUAUUUGAUUCCCUUCUGUGUUCAGGCCAUAUAAAAGUGCAAAUCAGCUACUCUGCUUCCAAGGAGAACCAGUUUCUCUUUGAGAGGGUACCGUUAAAUCUUGAGUUUUUUCAGCUGGUAGAUUUAUCUUAACAAUUGCUUAUCAGCAAUAAGAAGUCAAUGCUGGUUUUUUGGGAGAGUAUCCAUUGGAGAGCUUUUAAAAUUGACUUUAGCUAGACAUUUUAGAGACAAAGUUUGUUCAUUUCCUUGUUUAUUGUAGGUUGUAUUUAUGCUGCAAAUAGCAACAAUGAUGUAGUUUUGGAAUAAAAGAGGCAAUUAAAUGUAAAUAGGAGAUUGAAAUAACCCUAGUCUCUUUUCUUCACAUAUUUAUAAAAGAUGUUUCCUACUCUUUAACCUUAUCCUGUGAAACUCUAUAAGGGCUUAUGGACAACUUCUUUUCCUACUGAUGUUUCUAAAUUGGUGACAUGCAAUUACCUUUUCCAUACUCGUACUGCAGAGUAAGCUGAAUUUUUAAAUCAUAUACUUGUAACUGGUUGAAAUCUUCCCUAAGUAUUAAAUGCAUGUUAAGUGUCUUGAGUGUUGAUUUUAAGAUGUUUAAUUCUUUGCUCUCCUGAGCAAACUAGUCUUAUUGGAAAUUUCUUAAGAAAGGUUGUUGCUAUGCUAACCAUUUCCUGAUCUUUGGAACUACUACCUGAUUAUGUCUCACAUUCAUGUUCCAAAGUUACCAGGUGAACCCCAACCAAUGGAAAAUUAUGGCCAUGUUCACAAUUUAAGAACCAGAAACUUGGAAAUUGAAAGUAUCCAGGUAGGCAGGAUGGGACAGAUGGACUUUUAUGAUGUGGUAACAUGCUCAGUGAUCUCCUUCAUUGUUAGGUUAUGUGUAGGACAGUCUGACACAGUUGGGUAAGUUCCAAAAAGUUCUGAUUCAAGGACUUGAGAAGAAGUAGCAACUGUAUGGGUCAUUUGGGUAUUUUUAUUUGUUUUAAAAUUGGCCAGGUAUAUAAAGGGAAUCAUUACUUAGAGAGCUGUCUAAAGCGUCAUACACUCUUACGUCUACGUCUUCCCCUCAAUAUAUCUAGCCAUGGUUAAAUCUGCUAAAACUUAUGGAAGAUGAGCAAUGUUAAUGAGAGAAGUCACACUGAUCCCAAAUGUAUCGGUCAGAGAAAGCAAAUCAAAUAUAUAAACAUACAUAGGUACGUAUACAUAUGUAUGUGUAUAAAUAAAUAUGUAUAUAUAUAUAUAUAUAUAUAUGUACCUAUGGGUGUAUAUAUAAUAUAUAUUUGACUUUCUAUAUUUCUAUAAAAAUAUAUAGAGAUUAGAAAUAUCUAAAUAUCAAUAGGAGAUAUUAUUUCUCUCUAUGUGUUUAUAUAUGUAUUAUCUGUGUAUAUAUAGAUAAGAAAUUUCUUAGAAGAAUUGGCUCUCAUGAUUAUGGAGGCUGAGAAUUCCCAUGAAUGGCCAUCUGCAAACUGGAGAACCAGGAAAACUGGUGGUGCAAUUCAGUCUGAAUCUGAGACCCUAGAAAUUGGGGUAAAGGCCCCUUGUAUAAGUCCUAGAGUUGUAAAGGCAAAGGACCAGGAGCUUUGAUGUCUAAGAAUAGGAGAAGAUGAAUGUCCCAGGUCAAGAAGAGAGUGAAAGUAGCUUCCUUUCCUCCAUCUUUCUGUUAUAAUCAGGCCCUCAAUGGAUUGGACAAUGCCUGCCCACUUGGUGACUUGGUGAGGAUAGGUCUGCUUAGGUAGUCUAGGAUUCAAAUGUUAAUGUCUUCCAGAAACACCUUCACAGACAAACUCAGAAAUAAUGCUUUAUCUGCCAUCUUGGCAUUCCUUCACCCAAUCAAGUUGACACAAACAGGUACAUGGGAAGGAGUGAGUCAGGGGCUCAACAGGAAAGGCUCAGGGGCAGAAUUGAAUCUGAAAGUUACAAAACCACAGUUUGGGGCAUGUUCAUCCAUAAAGAACAUAGAAUCAAAGACCAGAGGGCCAGCAUUGGAGCCCUGGGCACAGUGGCUUUUUUAGAAGAGAGCAAAAGGACGAAUGAAGGAAAUGAAGAAGGAGCACUCAUAAGGAAAGCAAAGAAUUUUACAAUGUCCCCAAAGCAAAAUAGUUUCAAGCAGGAAGCAGUGGCCUACAGUGUCAAUAUGGCAGAGAAGUAAGAUAAGGAUGGAAACAUCCAUUAAAUAUGUCAAUACGGAAGCCAUUAGUGACUCUGGGGUCAUGAGGCAGUUCCCAUGGCAUAGUGGGGCAGGAGCCACACUGCAAAGUAGAGAACAGAGGGAGAUGAGAAAGUUGGGCUGUGAAGGGAAAUAAGAAAUAGGGAGGUCACUGGAGUGAUACUUGGGGUUAAAAGUCCCAUUUUAACUUCUGUUUUUAAAAAAACAGGCCUGGGACUGGGAUUGUGGCUCAGUGGCAGAGUGCUUGUCUUGCACGUGUGAGGCAAUGGGUUCAAUCCUCAGCACCACAUAAAAUAAAUAAAUAAAAUAAAGGUACUGUGUCCAUCUACAAUUAAAAAAAAGUAAAAGAAAAUAAUAAUAGAGAGGCCUGAGACUGUUAAUACUCCUCUCUGUUAGAAGGAAGAGGGGCUUGAUAUACAGGAAGGAGAGUCAGGAACUGAAGGAAUGAGGUCCUAUAAGUGGAGACCAAGGGGCCAGAUGGACUGAGAACCCCAAAGCAAGAAGGAACUCUCUCCCCAAAGCCUCGUUGGUGGGAGGGAAGAGAAGAUACGCCUAGGUCUAGAUGCAUUUGUGGGGAGGGUAGAAAAGGAAAAGAUUUACAAUAAUAUAUAUAUAUAUAUAUAUAUAUAUAUAUAUAUAUAUAUAUAUAUAUAUAUAUAUAUAUAUAUAUAUAUUUUCUGCAAAGAGAAGUUAUGGUCUUCUGCAGAGAAUUACAAACUGGAAAGAAGAGAGAUUUUAAAAGAAAUCAAAGUCUGUAAUAGGCACUGGGGGAAGGGGAGAAGGAACUGACUAGAUAGAAGGAGCUAAGCAGCAAUGUGUCUGUGGCUGAAACCUCUAGUUUGAUUAGAAAUAUUGACCCCAAUGACUUUUAGUUUGUUUCUCAGACCUAGAAUGUGUCCCCAACUCAUGUCACAAAUAUAUGUUGUUGAACAAUAGAGGGUUAGAGAUUGAGAAAGUGUGGAAGGGUCUAGAGCAUUUGAGAAGGAGAUGAACAACAAUAAAAGAUAUAAAAUAGGUUAAGAUGUUUUUCAGGUGCUGCAGUGGCAGAGGCCUUGCCUAGCAUGUGUGAGGCACUGAGUUUGAUCCUUAGCACAACAUAAAAGUAAAUAAAAUAAAGGCAUUCUGUCCAUCGACAACUACAAAAAAAUAUUUUUAAAAAGAUGGUAUCCAGUAUGCAUAUCUUUUAGCAAAACAUUACUUUCAUCUUGUAUCUGAAACACAGCAUCAUUUUCAGUUUAUGGUAAUCACUACUUUGACUUUCUGUCUAAAUAAGAAACUGGUCCCAUAAUUUAACAAAGCAAGAAUAUAUUACCUCAGAUUGUACAGUUUGUUAUUAUUUUGAGUGCCACCCUCCCCCAAUGCCAUGUAAAAAAAAAUCACUUUUACCAGUUUUAUUUUGGUGACCAAAGGAAUGUGGUUAUUCCAUGAUUCUUCAAAACGGCUUAGCCACUUUGGUAAUUGUAGUAGUGAGAGGGUAUUUUUACAUCCUUUAGUUAAAUUUAAAUCUUUGUUAGGAUUUAUGUGUAUUUUCAACGGUUAGCUCCUUUUUUAAAAUGUAAUUGUGAUGGAGGAAUUUCUAUUUGUUUCACUUGGGAGAAGGAAUGACUCACGAUGAGAACUCUUUCUUUCUAAAGGCCUUUGUCACCCAGCUAACGCUUUUCACGUAUGCCCUUUGCAUGAUCUCUUUAAAAUUUAUGGGAGGUCAAAGAAUCUUUAAAAACAAAGACAAAUAAAACUAUUUUCCUAGUCUCUCUUCUUUAUACAAUCUUUGUACUAGAAACGCAUUCACACCGAUGCCAAAUGAAGUUUUCUGUUUAAGCUCCGGUUCUCAAGAUAAAGUAGGGAAAGUGGCAUUGAACUAAUCCAUUCUUGAAAACAUCUUAACAUUAUAAGCAGAACAAAGUGGUACAAAAUGUAUUCAGCCUCACGGAUUUCUCUAGAUUGUAACCAGAAUAGAAGAUGGCAGAAUAUAUUAAUUCCUGAGAUAAAAUUAUAAUGAGAACAGAAAAUGGUGCGAGAUGAAUUAAUGUAGUGGCAGGCUUCUGUCUGCAGAGCAUGGUGCUCUCUAAAUACCACAUCGCAGCACUUUGUAGUCAGCUCUCUUCUGUAAUCUAUAUUUUAAAGAUGCUCUAAAGAUAAAGCCAGACCAUAUUCUCAUCUCCAGGAGCACUGCGGCAGCACUCUGGACACAGAAUAGCCCCAGGGAAGUGAUGAAUGGGCUUACCUGAAAGGAACAGAGGAGAUUUAAGUUAGAUAGCAGGAAGAUUUUUCAUUUCUGCAGAUGUCUACUGACAUGCCUCCUUCACUAGCAGGUCUCCUUUAAGUCUGGAACUUCAAGGAAAACUUAGUUGAAGUAGUCGUGGUUACAAAAGAAGAAGUUGCUCUUUGCAAAAAAGACUUUACAUUUUGCAACAUGGAAAGCAUUGUUUGAUAUUUUUUGUCAUUGCUGCUUAAGAGUGCCGGUUUUAAACUGGGAUGACUACCGUUUAUCUGGAGUGAUUUUCAAAUAGGUACUGCCCUAUGUGUCUGAAGUUAGAUUAUCUUUUAAUCCAUAUUAUAAAUAUACUUAUUAAUAGACCUAGGGUGAAUUUGGGGAGAAAGUUAGUCAAUGCAGUAAUGUACCUGUAGUGUCAUUCAGAUACCUAUUUUUAGGAGCUUUGUACUAUUCAACAAGAGCCAAUAUAGCCCAAUAAUAAACAACUGAGACUCAUUGCUUCAAAUCCUUCAAAGGCUAACAUGACUGCAGCAGCCACAGUAGAAAACCUUGAGUGGCUAUACUGGAACUUUGAAAUGCUUAAUAAUGCUUGUUCCCCAUAGCUUUGCAUCCUCUGAAACCUGAUCUGAUUGCAAAUUUUUAAUCAGGAAAUCUGGUCUUUGAAUCAGAGUGGCUUUGCCAAUUAGAUUGGCAGCAAUAUUGCUCUUGUUUUGAAUUUUCAUGAUGCAGGAAAUUUGGGUCCAAGUUUUUUCCUCUCUGCAUUGACACUGGUGCACAGGGCAUGGCUAGGUUAUCCAAACUAUGAAUUAAAGUUUUUAAUAACAUCAGAAUAAGGUAUUAGCAGUGCUGUCUUAUUGUGGCUGGUUGUGAUUUCAGAUGAAAUCUAACUCUAUGAUAACAAGCAAGAGUGAACUGUGAGUUAAAAUGUGCUAACCCCAGACGGUAUUGUAAUCCAGGCUUGAACACUGUGUAUUUUCUCUUUUCACAUAUUCUCUGGCAAGACAGUUCCGUGACAUUACCUCCAACAGCAAACCUAGUGACUUGUGAUUGUAUUUGUCCUGGGAUAAAUCCUCCAUACAGAGGAGGCGCCUUUAUCCUUGAAGUACUUUGGAAAUGAAGCUGUUUAUUUCUUCCCAGCCCUCUGACCUGUCUCUAAAGAUUCAACCAAAGGUAUUGUAGACUCUUUAAUAUUUUAUUAAAAGGAAGAGAGACUCAGAGAAUUAAAAUCCAAGAUUGCUUUACUGCUUCAUGAUUUAAGAAAUCAAAACUUGUAAGUAAAUAGUGCUUUUGAGCUUGAGAAAUUACAGUGAAUCAAGCUGCCUCUCUUUCCGGAGAAAUUUACCUGAAAUCUAUUCUCCCACUGUUUGCAUGGUCAGUUCCUGCAACGCUUGCAAUUUCUUUUAAAAUCAUAAAAAAAGAGAAUUAAAACCCUAUGAUGAAGCACUUACCCAAAAUUAAAGGGUCAUGGUUAUUUAUUAGAAAAAUACUAUGUACCUAGAAUUUAAUCACAUUUCAGAUAGACUUCUUUCUUUUUUCUUUCUUUCUUUCACAAUUGUACACCACGGACUUGAUAUUUCUGUCUAUCCUUCUUGACUUUCAGUCAUGGUUUACAAUAUUAUAUUUAUAUCUGUAGCAGUGUAUGGUAGGAGAACAAAUUUUAUAAGUUUAGUGUGGAUUGGGUUUUCAGUUCCCUAUAGGAAGUCCAGUUCUCCUUUGCUCCUCUGGGUUUCUGUAGUCUGAGCAGAGAAUGGCAUAUGAUAGGAAUUAGGUGGUGAUAAUAAUUUAGCUGCCUGCAUGAAGUUUACAGUUUAGAAGGAAAGGCACAAUUCAGAAACAGACCUGUGUUUGUACAAAAACUUGAUAUGUGAUAAAAGAGUUACACUAAUUUAACAGGCAAGGUUGAACCGUUGGAAACAGGAAGUUAAUCUUCUGCUAUGUUCCACAAUUAAUUCCAGGUAGAUUAAAAUAAAAAUAAUUAAAAUUAAAAUCAUAAAGAAAAAACAAAACAUGAAUAAUUCAUCUGUUCUCUCUAUGGGGAAGGAUGACUUAUAUUUGAAAAUAAGAGAAAGAAAUAGGGGAACAAAAAGUUGCAUGAUAUUUUUAAUUGAAUUUAAAAAAUAAAUGAAACUAAGAGACAAGAAAUAAGAAAAACAUUUGUCACAAUAAUGAGAAAAGCCCUAAUUACUUAUUAUAUAAAGAGCUCAUACAAACCAAUGUGCAAACAGGAUGGUAACAAGUUAACAGGCAAAUUACAAAAGGUGGACCUAAGUGUCCAAAGCUAAAAAAACAAAAAGAAUUUAGCUUCACAAAGGUGCAAGUAAAUGUAAAUUAAAGCUCACGCUACCAUUAAAUAGCAAAGAUUAUAAUAGAGGCAAUAUUUGAAGAUGGUAUUAGAGAACAAAAUGUCACUUGGCCCAUGCUAAUGAUGAUGGGUGUUGGUGUGGCUUUCUGCAUACCAAUUUAACAUACAUCAAAAGCCUUAAAAAUGUUAUAUUCUGUAGUAGGUCAAAAAAGAAAAUCACAAAACAGCUUUUUAAAAAUAUGAUUCCCAUUGUUUUUCAUAGAAGGAAAAGAAGGAAUAAUAGAGGAAAAGAAGGAAAGACAGAGGGAAUUGUAUGUGUGUUCAGGAACAAGUAGUGAUUUUGUUUUCUUCUUUAAAAGUCAGAAAGGUUCAUUUGUUUUUGCAAUAUGUCUUUAUUACAAUCAGAGAAGGUAAUAAUAUUUAAAAAGAGGAAGAAACAUGAAAAAAAUGCUCUUAUCCUUACACCCACUGGUUCCCCAUUUAGAAAAUUACCCAAAGGAAAAGGCAAAAAUGUAGACAAAGAUUUAUGUACAAAUAGUGUGGUUAAAAAUGAAAACAUCAUCAGGAGAUUGUUUAAAUAAAUUCUGGAACAUUCAAAAGAUAGACUAUUAUGCAGCUGUUAUAAAUUAUAUGUCAGAGGAUUUUUCAAUGACAUGGUAAAAUGCAUCUGACAAAUUUUAAGCAAACAGAAUAAAACAAAACAGGAUACAAAAUGGUAUAAGAAGAAUGAUCCUAACCUCAAAAAAUGCAAAAAAGGCUAGGGGAAAAAAAUACACCAAAAUGUUAAUGGUUGUGCCCGGGUAGGGUAGAUUACUCAUGGAGGAUUUUUGUUUUCUUCUUUGUUUUGAGUUAUGGGUUUUGUUUUCUAAAACAAUUACUGUGCACUACUUUUAUAAGUGGGUGUGGGGGACAUUUUAGAUCCUUUCAUCCCUCAAAUUGAGCCCUUUCCACUGUACCAGAGCACCACAGUUUUCUUCAAUAAAGAGCUUCACUACCUUGCCUUAAACCAGAAAUAAUGAAACAUCAGAAAAGGGCCCUAAAAUCUGGAUGCUAUUGGGAAAAAUAAAUUUCUGCCAAUAAACAGCAGGCGUUUGGUGUCCUUUACCACUUUGCCCAAUGACAUUCCAGGUAGGGAUUGUCCGUUACUUUAGAAUGACAAAUAUACAGCUAAUCAGAAGCAGCCAAUGAUCCCUACUCCGGGGGACAGCAUUUCUAGAAGCAGCCUCCAGAAGGUCUGCUUUCCAUAAAUGGUGUGCUGACUUUCAGCAGCAGGGAUCAGCAUUUUUGCCACGUGCAGUACCUUGGACGGCUGCAUCGGCUGCAUCACUGGGUGCCUUGAGAAAUCGCUAGGUAAACAUCCGAGCGCCAAUUGCAAAAAGAUACUCCUGUGGGUAGUAAAAACUGUUCUCCGUUUGCAAGUCGAGGCUUACCCCUGUGUUUUGGAGAUACCUGAAUUGGUUUGGCUCUUUUCCAAUUACAAUCUGUUCGUAAUCACCCAGGGUCUGUAACAUCAAGCAGCGUUAUGAGGGAAUUAAUUCUUUCUAUGUGACAGUUGUUAGUGUAAUUCAUGUCCUUGUUUUUAAUUGUUGGAUCAAAUUACUUUGUAGAUUAUUUCAUAUUUCAUCCCAAGAGAAAGGAAUAGAAAAAAUGCACAGUGCCUGUGGUGACUUAUUUGUUUAGUCUACUCUGGGAAAAAAGAAAAAAAAUAAAGCAGAAUUAAAAAGAUUGACUUUCUAAACAAAAUGGCUCUUCUCUAUCCUUAGAGUAUUUUUUGCAUCAUUUUAGAUGGAAAGUUAUCCUGAGUACAUUCUUUUUGUUUAAACACUCUAAGAACUAAGUUUAUUUUUAUAAUGGUUCUGCUAAAAUAAUGGCCAUAAAGGUCACGAAGCAGUAUCUCCUAACAAAUACCUUGAAAAGGAUUCACAAUUCAAUGCUGUUUCAUUAAAAGAAGCACCUUGAAGACAAGAAAUUAAUGAGAUUUAGAAUAAUUUGUUAAGAAGCAUCUAAUAGCCACUCAUGAGAUUCAAAUGUCAAGAUGUUAAAAAAAAACACAAAAAACCAUGCACACAUACACAAAAGAAACUUAGCAAAUGCAAAUUAUAUUUGGGGGAAAAAAGAAUAUUUGAAAAAUCUUAUAAAUGUUUAUUUUUGCAGCACUGAAAUUUAAUCCCUGUAUUUGAGUAUAUACCCAGUAGGCAUUUCAUCCAUUUUUGAGUCAUACUCUCUGAAUGCUUUUCACCCUAAAAAGUCUAGAAUCUCAGAAAUAGUUAGUAACUGUUUCAUUGAUGUCUUAUGAGUUGAGAGUUUACUUGUAGGCUGAAGGGGAGGUGAAGGCCCAGAUAAAGCAAGCUCACAGAACUGAAAAGCUAUAUAUAAAAUUCAUUGUUCUAUUUAUUUCCACUUUGUGAUGAGUUGAGAGGGAAAUGUAUUUAUAACAAUGGGGCACUUGAAAUGAGCUGUUGCUAUAACUGUCCAAGGCCAGCCAACAUGCAUAUUGCCUCAUAAAUAGUCAUCUUAUAAAGUAGACCUGAGUGAUAAACUGAAGAGGAAUUAUAGAUCAGUGAUCACUUAAAAGCAAGCAGCAAAGAAAUUGAUAAAUACUGCCUGCCUGCCUGCCUGGCAAAUAAAAAACAGUCAUCAUUAGAGAAAGAGCUGGAACUUGCUGAUUGCUGGGAAAUUACAGUAAUAGACAAAUGAACAGAUCCACUCAUUCAGGGCAAAGGUGCCUUGUAGUUCAGGUAACGAAGUACUGUCAACACAGAAAGGUCCUUGAAAUAGGAGCUGAACUUGCUAUCCUGAAAACAAAAGAUAUAUAUACAGACACAGUUGAAAAGCUGGCAGCCCCACAUCAGUUUUCUCCACCAGUGUGUUGAAUGUAUUUAUUGUCACUGUCAUCUUGGAAAAGGGAAAAGAGAUAUCCAUAAAAAUAGAUCCGUUUCCAUCAUUGGUACUAUCAAAUGCUAAAACAGAAUUCCUGUGGUCACUUAUAUCUCAUAAGCCCAGUCUGUUCUAGUCUGUUAUAGGGAAACAAGAUGGUUAUAUUGAUUUCAAAAGUUGGUUCUCUAUUUUAAAUAUGUUGUUUGUUUGCCUAUGUGUUGAUGGAAAAGAAGCAAGUGACCUAUUACCAGCUAAGUUGAUUGAUGGCUGUGGGUUUCCUAGCUACAUUUGGGCCUCUACAAAGCAAGUCUCUUGUUGAGCUGGUGUAAAUGCAUCUAAAUGAGCCUCUUCAGGAAGCCAAGAGGAAUGGCAUAGAGUUACAAGUACUGGAGGUGGGGAGGAUGCCACAUUCUCUUUGUGCUUCAAGCCAACUUCAUUCUGAUCAGAACGGAAAACCAUCUGAGGAUUUUAAGGGUUGCUCAUUUGUAAUAAUAACUUGCCUAUGUGAAAUGCAUUCACGUGGCAUGCUCAGAACAGCUCUGUGAACCAUGUGUUAUCACACCCCUUUCCAAAAAGAGAUUGAGGCUCAGAAACAUUUGGUACAUGCUCACGGUACCAAAGAGGGAGUCUCAGUUCUUCCCAUUGCCAACUCAGGCUUACUGAUUCCAGCUUCUAUGCCUAUUCUCCACUUGUAGCCAUAGUUAAAACAUGAUCCCACUUCCAGUUUGAUUCAAAUAAAGACAUGUAAAAAAGUCAAGAGUGGACAUCUUCUUCUUUCUAUGGUUAUCUUUACGGCAGACAUUCCUGGUUCAAAUAAGCAAGGGAAUAAUUUAAGAAAGAUGAAGUAGCAACAUUAGAAAGAGAAUACCUGCAUAGUUGAGGUAGUCAGCUUGCAUACUUGAUAAAGCAGUGAAAGCCCAGACCUGAAAGAGUUGCACGUAACAAAGAUGACAAGUCAAUACUCCCUAGAACACAUCACAAUGUUAUAAAGUAUAAAAUGAUUAAUGAAAAGAUAGUCAAUGUAAGAGCAGUCCCCAAAUACAGAUUUCAGUUUCUUUUCUGUAUACUUGCUCCAAUAUAAGGCCUUUUAGUUCAAACUUCAGUUACAAUGACAAGUUCUUUCAGAAAAUUGUCAUGAUGCCUACCAUAAGAUUUCAUAUAAAGAUUGACCAUUUUAUCAGUUCUCUUUAGUGGUGUAAACUACCAUCCAAAAUUUAGGAGCUUAUAAUAACAUCCAUUUAAUUUUCCACACAAUUUUGUGUGUUAGCUGGUGUUAUGGUUUAGAUAUGAGGUACCCCCCAAAAAAAACUCAUGUGUGAGACAAUGCAAGAGUUUAGGGGUGAAAUGAUUGGGUUAUGAGAGCCUUGACCUAAUCAGUGCAUUAAUCCACUAAGAGAUUUACUGGGUGGUGAUGACAGGUAGGUAGGGCGUGGCUAGAGGAGGUGGGUCAUUAGGGGUAUAUCUGUGGGGUUUAUAUAUUGUUGUGGUGAGAUGAGUUCUCUUUCUACUUCCUGGUUCUAUAUCCUGAGGUGCCUUCCUCCGCCACACUCUUCUGCCAUGAUAUUCUGCAUCAUCUUGGGCCUAGAACAAUAGACUCAGCCAUUUAUGGGCGGAGCCCUCUGAAACCAUGAGCCCCCAAAUAUACUUUUCCUCCUUAAAACUGUUCUUGUCAGGUCUUUUGGUCAUAGUAGUGAAAACAGCCGGCUAAAACAUCUGGGACAAGUAGGAUAUUUGGAAUGGCUGUUUUAGUUGGGGCCAGCUUGGCUGGGGCUGGAUGGGCUGGCGUGACCUUACUUGUGUUUCUCAUGAUUGGCAGGUUGGUCUUUGGAGGACUCAGCUGGAUAGUUGUCUUGGCUCCACAUGGUCUCUCAUCCUUUACCAGGCCAGCAUAGAUGUCUUCUCAUGUUGGUCUCUAAAUUCCAAAGGAAAAGAAGAUCCUAAUAUGCAAGGGCUUGGAAAAACCUCAGCUUCUAUUGGGCUUGCUGGAGAGCUGGGGAGAUCUGUCCAGGUCCUGCUGAAACUGGAAGGACAAGUAAGGAGUAAGACUGACUGAAGAAGAGUUGGGGUCCAGCGUGAAGGGAGUGGGUGUCACUCACUGUCUUAUGUCUAUUUUUCUUAGAUAUUAUUUUAGCUAUUCCAACCUCCUUUUCCCUUUUUGAUUAUUGUUUUCAUAAUCUAUCUUUUCCAAUUCUUUUUCUUUCAACCUAUCUAUAUUUUUAUAUUUUUUGUGGGUCUCAGAUAAACAGAAUAUAAUUGGAUUUAGUUUUCUCUCAAGUCUGGUAACAUUUAUUUUUUAAUAGGAGUAUUUAAUCCACUCACAUUUCAUUUAACUUAAUGAUAUAUCAGGCUUUAAUUUAACAUCUUACUUUUUUUCCCCCUAUAUGUUCUUUGCUCUUUUAUUCUCCGUUCAUGCCACAUUUUGGUUUAAUCAAGUAGCUUUUAUUCCAGCUCCUUCUCUAAUAGUGUGUUAAUUAUAUAUAUUUUGCUAUUCUUUUAUGGUUACCUGGAGAUCACAACAUACAUCUUUGACUUCCUAGAGUCUCAUUUAAAUUACUACUUUUUCAACAAAUCAGAUGAUGCAAGGACUUUACAAGAUGUUAACUUACACACAUUUUUAGUUUUAACUUAUACACGUUUUAGAGUUUCAUUAUUGUUCAGUUGGUGUUCAUCUGGCUCAACUGGAUUUUAACCUUUGUCUUCUUUAUUCUUGCCUCUAUUUCUGUGCUUCCAUCUGGAUCAUGAAGAAAUCCCAUUGGUUUUUCUUUUAGCCUGAGUCUGAAGAUAAAUUCUGUAUGUUUUUUGUUGGUCUGAAUAUGCAUUUAUUUGACUUUCCUUUUUCAAGGAUAUUUUCACUGAGUGUAGAAUUCUAGAUUGUUUGUUAUUUUCUUUUAAUACUUUAAAGAUUUACUUUCUGCUGAAGAUUCCUUCCAAGGUGCUAAGAGGGGGAGAAACACCCUGGCUUCCCACUUCUUCCAUGUCUCCUUGCAGUGCCCUCCAUUGCCUACCCAGCCAUAAGUCAGCAGGCAUAGGAACCCCCCCAAACAGCCCCCUGGAUCCGGUCCUCUUGUGAUGCACCUCAGAACACAGGUAAGGCAAGGAAUGGAUCUGAAGCCUUCACUGUCACUAACAUUUCUCAGUUACACCUGACUCCAUGGUAAUCAUAUUACAAAGUAUAUUCACAAGAUAGACUAGGUUAAUGAUGCAUUUAAAAAAAUAUCAAUGGCAUAAUGGACACAGAAUUUACUUUGAACUCAGUUAUGUGCUUAAUGGUUUGCAGCUCUUGAAUCUUGUAGCUACAUUUUCUGGAAUAUGUCACUUUUUAGAUGGCCACAAUAGGGAAGGAGAGUCUGAAAAAUUAUGCCUGGGUUCUUCACUUCCUUUCAUAAACCACUUAAAUAGUCCUAAGCACAUGGCCCUAUUUCUGCACAGGUGGGUUCUAGGAAAUACUGAGGAGUGCAUGGACAAUCUGGUGAGUACUAUCUCCAUUUCUCAUGGAUUACCUUACUUAAUGAAUAUAGCUAAUGGGGCUGAGGGUCUAGCUUAGUGGUAGAAUGCUUGCCUAUCAUGUGCAUGGCCCUGGGUUCAAUCCCUAGCACUGAAAAAAAUAGAUAAAUAAGUAGCUAAGGACUACUUAAUAAGUAGUAAUAGAUAAAUAAGUAGCUAAGGACUCUUCCUCACUUAACAAGCCACUAGAGUUUAAUUUCUCUACUAUGUUCUCCCUGCCAAGUAAUUUCUGGGAAUUCCUCAGUAAGGCUCAUGUGUUACACUAAUCUUUCCUGGAGGCCACUUGUCACCCCCACAAGCCAUCCGUCCUCCAGGUGACUUUCUCAGACCCAGCAGGUAAGUCAACUCUUGCCAGCUCGUCUUUCACUUCUCUCAACUACUUUCUCCAUUUUAUUCUGCUUCGUUCCAGUAUGGGCACGUAGAUUUCCCUUAAUCUUACAGGGCACACAUAAAACCACACAGUGGUAUCUAACAAAAUUUUCUGGACUAUUUGGGCAUUCUGGAAGGGAAUUAUAGUGCAGAAGAGGAGAACUUAGAUGUCGCUAUACUCCCGCUUCUCCAUUUUGCCUCUAAUAAUGGCUUCCUUUUGGCUAUGACCCUUGCCACUCAUGAUGGUCAGUGCUUACCAGUAGUGCUUCCCAGUCCCUUCUACUUGAGAGGACCAAUUAGAUGCUGCCAUUCAACAGAUGAGAAAAGCUUCUCUCCCUCAUUUUCAUAGCUGUUUUCUCCAGGGGCAAACUUCUCUUACUGAUAGUGUGUGGUCUGACCCUGAGAGCUCAGACAGGGCAAUCACAAAAUUUGACAGCAGAUUUUCUGAAGUCUAGAUGAUACCACCUGAAAUAACACCACUGUGGGUUUUCGGCCCAGGGUAUACUUUGGCAUUUCCCAUAUGGUUCCCUUUAAAGCCAAACCCCCAGAUUAAGGUACGGACACACCUCCACAUGCAUCCCCUCAGCAUCUGGUUUGCACUCCUGAUCUCUCAUGACUAGUUUUAAGAUGAAACCUAUGUGCAUGUACAUCCCAAGAGCAAAGAAUAAUAUACAGAAUCAGUUACACUUAAAAAAAAAUCUAAUUUAGCUAAAAAAUCUUUUCAAGGGCACACCCCUACUGAAAAAGAUAGGAUUUGCAUUGAUCAACAAAUAUAUAGCAUGUCAGUUUGAGUCAUUUACAUCUAGGUUAUUGGGUGGCAGUCUCCUUUAGAAAUGAUGCCCGAAUAUUUGCUUUACGUUUGGGUCAAAAAAGAAUCCUUUCCAAUUAUUUUCCAGAAACAAAGGAAGUCUUUUCCAAAGAUGAAUGAUGUCUACACCAGUAAAAAUAGAAAAUUGUUCACAACUUUUAAAGGACGUCUCACUCAUUUUAAACAAAUGUCUUUCCUAUAGCUAUCUUGUUGUAUUUGGUAUUGGUGUCUAAGAGAAAGAACUAGAAUGAGAGAUAUUAUUAUAUUAUGAAGACAUUUGUGAUUGCAAACAGUUGUUUAUGCUUACAGUCGCAGGCUUGAGAAAAAGAAGACAAUUUUCAGUUAUGUAAUAGGAAGAUCCCCAGCAACAUAGUCCAAUAGAAAUACAACAUGAACUAUAUAUGUAACUUAAAAUUUUUUGGUAGCCACAUUAAAUAAGUAAAAAAAUAAAUAAAUAAAGUUACUUUCAGUAGUACAGUUUACUUAACCCAAUAUGUCUAAGAUAUACUGAAACUCGUUUAAUAUAUUCAUAUCCUAUAUAAAGUAUUUUAAAAUAUUUGUAGUGCUCAAUAACCACAUGUGGCUAGUGGCCAUCAGACUCAGGUGUACAGGGAUAGCUGCAGGACUAGACACAGAGACUCAAAUGAGGCAUGGGGGUCCAUUUCUUUCCUCUGAUUUCUCUGUUCUUCCCUCUUUGCUCCACUCUCAAAUAUGCCCUGUCCUCUUAGUAGUGAAGUGGCUGUACAGCUCCAAGCAAUAUUUUUUCAGGUUCGGGUUCUGUAUCAAAGGGUGCUUCUGUCUCUUUAACAAUGGGAGAAAAAUUUGGUUUUCCGUCCAUUCCAAAAGCAAUUCCUGGAGUGAGGAGAGUGGAAUGAAGGCCCAGAUCACAAGACCACCCCCACCAACCCCCAGAAAUCAGUCCUCUUCAACUGCUUAUGCUGAAAAUAAGGACAGGGGAAGUUCCUCAGAGGAGAAUCAGGUGCUGUUACCAGAAGAAGGGUGCUGGUGCUGGGAGAAAAUACUGAAGCAGAAACAAAGCCAAAAAUUGGAGGUCUUCUCUAGGAAUCAGCAGAGCACGGAUGGUUACUAAAGCCCAGGCGUCGUAUAAGGUCCUUCAGCACUUCCAAAUCCAAGAGGUGAGCAGAGGAAGAGGAGCAUGUGCAGGGGAAAGAGGAAGGGCCAUGAAACCAAUGAAAGGGAGACAGGGAGGACGUUAACCUGCAGAAGUCCAAGUCAGAAAGGGUUCAGAAGUCAGUGGCAUUUAAAGUUGCUAAGAGCCAUGCUAAGUACCAAGAAGUGCUCAAAAGACUGAAUGAAGCAUGAGCCCUUACUGACCCAGGCAAGCACAGAUUUGGUGGAGGGAUUCCAUAGGUUGAGAGUUAGGUCCAGGAGGAGGUAAGGAAGCAAAAUCAGGUUGAGAAAACUCUUCCAAGAGAUUGGAGUGAGGAAAAAAGAGAAAGAGAGAAAAAUCUAGGACGGUAGCCUGAGGGGGUCAUUGUGUUAAGGAAGAGUUUAUUAAAUACCUUAUUAUUCAAGCAUAAACAUUGUGAUAGUAAACUCAAAAAACAUGCAGUUGAGUGCAAAGCUGGGUUGGAAUUCCUCAGUGACUAACUAUACUACCUUUAGCAAGCUACUUGGCUUCUCUGCCUUGGUUUUCUCAUUUGUAAAUUGGAAGUAAUUGUGGUGAUUUAACAGGAUCACCAGCUAUAUGAGAUAAUGAACAAAUAUAAAAGUAUUCAUCCAAGUUGUGCUUUUAAAUUUUUUUCACAAUACCUUUGUUCUAUUUAUUUAUUUUUAUGUGGUACUGAGGAUCAAACCUAGGGCCUCUCAUGUGCUAGGCAAGCACUCUACUGCUGAGCUAUAGCCCCAGCCCAGUGAAUGUAUUAUUGCUCUCCUUCUUCCCUAGUGACUGGUGAACAAACCACACUGUUUCUUAUUUCUCUGCUUUCAUAUUUCUCUUGGAAUGUUUCCUCCCCAUACCAUCAGCCUGGUGAUCUCUCCUGUAACAUCUAAACAAAAGCAACUGUCCUGUUGCUGGUCACUUCCUCCUGCCCUUUAGAGCUCUUGCCAAAGAUGAAGUCAGGCUUUGCCACCCUGGUUCUCCAUUGCCCUGAAUCCACUGCUGCCUGCUCACCUGCACCGCUUAUCUCUGACAUGGAUCUGUGCUGUUUCCCACCAGAAAGGCCAGUUCCUGUACUGAAGAAGAUGUACCAUCUUAGAUAGUUUAAGUCUUUCUGUCUGUAAUUCUAUGAAUUCAGUCUUGGAAUAAGUAGUUCUCUUCUGAACCAUGCUGAGAGACUGCAUCAUCUGCAUUUCUCUUUGAGCUUUUGGUGUUCCUUGGGUGACGGAGUAAUUCUUUGCAACACUGAAAAGCUGGAGGUGCAGCUCUCUGUUGCUGCCUUCCAGUGACAAAUGUGUUCUGCCCAUGCCUUGGGCAAAUGCUUCCUCCAAAAUUUCACCUCCUCCUACAGAACUCCAGCCAUGGAGCUGGAUAAGGAAUUGUAUGGACGGAAAGCCAAGUUGUGCUUCUCCCUUCCAGAUUCCGCAGCAAUUUGCUCCUCUGUGGUCAUAUCUGUAACCCAGGCUGAGUCUUUUCUGUACAUUCCAUGAUCACUUUGUUUCUGCAGCUGGGUCUGCUUGCUGUAUUCUUAGGUUUUGUUGCUUAACUCUUUCCUGCCGUCUUGCAUGUGAUGACCAUGAUUCGUUGUUAUAAGAGAGGUCUAACAAGGUCAAGAAAGACUCUAACUUUGUAUUUCGUGUAAUGUCUUUGUGUUUUCCUUCUUUCCAUAUAGCCUGAUUUUUUACAUCUAUUUAAAUAGAAGAAUAAAAGUCUGAUGUGUUUAUACACUUGGAGUUUCUCCAUCCAUCCCUCCCACUUGGGACAAAACUAAGUGUGAAUUUUUCGCCGAGCUCCCAUUCCCUAGAAGCUGGAGUGCAGAUUGGAGCAGAGGGUUAAAUCCUGGCAAUUAAUAACUUUCACUUUUGCAACGAUUGCAGCUCUGGAGUGGCUUGUUCAGUAGCUGUAGAUUACAGCAGUUCUAUAGAGAAUGGGGUUGAGAUGUUACUAUUUUGAUGAUUAUUUCAAAAUUCUGCCACUGAGAGAUCAUUGCUUAGAAACUGUGGAAAGAAAUGGAUAAAUAGAAGAAAGGAUAGAUAGAAAGGUAGAUGGAAAGAGAAAACAUAGAACACAUUUCCAAGACCUGGAAUAUAUUUCCAAGACUAUUUUUCUAUUUAAAUGUGUUUAUUUCCUGAUAAGCCCUUCUUUGCAUUCUGGAAGUCUCCUGGCUGCUGAUGAGGCAGAGUCCGGAGUGCACAGCAUGGAGUCUGGAGUGUAGCAAGAGCAUAAUAAAUGCUUAUCCAGGGGACUACUGCUCCAUUUGGCCUGCUCAAGCUAGAGCCAGCUCCUCUGUGCUCUGUCCUUGUCAACAGACUUUCCCAACCACUGAGGCAAACCAGAGAAGGCUGAUGGAUUUCACCCAAAGUUGUUAAUCUGUUAACAAUUGGCUGUAAAAGUAUGCGUAUGGAAACAAACAGGAAAACUAAAAACCAGAUUUGCAGUUGCAGUGUAAAGAUAUAAUUGUCAUGCGUUAGCAAAAAGAAAGGCCUCUCACAGAUUGCAAAUGUUAUUUUAAUACAUAAGGAAAAUGCACUGGGUUUAAUGAAUGUGCUGUGACCAUCAGCAAAACGGAAUUUCAGAUUUGAAUCACUAAACCUAUUUUUUUUUUUUUGGUCAUUGCUGCUAUUCUUUUUCAUCUCAUCUUCUCCUCCUUUUUUUUUUUUUAAUUUUAAUCAUGGGGUCCUGACAAAUUGAUCAUGUAUUUACACCUCUUACUCAUUAUGGGACCUUGGGUCAUUUACUUAACUCUCUAUGUCUUGAGUUCCUCAUUUGUAAAAUGCACAUAAAAAAAUCUACAUUAGUUGGAUGACUGGAUGGGAUAAUGUGUUCAGAAUAUCCUCUGUAGCGCCAGGAACACAGAACAGGUAUUAACAGCAGGACUUUCUGCCACAGCUGCUGCUGCUGCAACUGCUUGGUAGUUGAUCAGGGUUCCCUGGAGACACAGAACCAAUAGGAUGUGUGUGUGUGUGUGUGUGUGUGUCUCCCCCCCCCCUCUACACACACACACACACACACAGAGAGAGAGAGAGAGAGAGAGAGAGAGAGAGAGAGAGAGAGAGAGAUUAUAGAAUUGCUCCUGAUUAUAGAGGAAAGCAAGUUUGUCAUUUGCAGGGUGGGUCAGCAGGCUCAAGACCCAGGACAAGCCUAUGUUACAAUUCAAGUUUAAGCCCAUCUGCUGCACAAUUCAGUCCUUUGUUCUAUUCAGGCUUUCAACUGAUUGGAUGAGGCCCACCCACAUUAUGAAAGCCAAUCUGUUUUACUCAAAAUCCAUUAAUAUGAAUGUUGAUCUCAUCCAAGAGCACCCUCACAGAAACGUCUGUAAUAAUUUUGAUCAUGUAACAGGGCACCGUGGCCCAGCCACAUCAAUAUAUAAAAUUAACCAUCCCAGUCCUGUUUUCUUUAUUCUCCAAUACUAUAUCAGAGGACAAUAGCCUUUGACAGUUCUCUCUUUUUCUACUUUUGUUUCCUCCUGAAGAAUUUAUGGGCAGUAGCAAGAAUGUUUAUAAGAUAAAAUCUAGAUCCCUUCUCUCAUGUGCUUAAAUCCCUUAAUGACCUCCUACUGCACUUAGAAUAAGUGCCAGCUCCUUAUCAGAGCUAAUAAGGCAGUGCUUUGCCUGGCCUUCUCUGACCUCACUUUCCCAGAACCUCCUGCUGUGAUGCUAGAUGCUGUGGUCGACCAAGCCUGAAGUGCCAGUGUUUCAUACAAGGAGGGGUGUAUAUCCUACUCACACUGGUAGGCAGCCUCUGACUGACAUAGCUCUCCAAAGUCCCUGCCUUCUAGUAUCAACCCUUUCCCUUGAAAGUGGACUAGAUCAAGUGACUUGCUUCAAGCGAGCACAAUAUGGUAGGAGUGAUGGGAUGUCAUUUCCAGGAUUACAUUACAAAAGAUGGUGACUUCCAUCUUGAUAGAACUCUCUCUGUGGUUCCUCAUGCAGGCUUGCUCUUUGACAAGGGACAAAGCAGCUUCUGGUCACCCGAGGAAAACACAGAGGCCUGACAUCUAACAGCCCUGGAGAAACUGAGUCUUGCCAACAACCACAGGAAUGGGCUUGGAAGCAGACCCUUCCCCAGUCAAGACUUCAGAUGAGGCCACAGCCUCAGGCUGAUCCUUGAUUCAAGCCUAUUGAGAGACCUUUAAGCAGGAAUUGGACUAUGAUGUGCUCAAUUUCUGACUCUCAUAACUGUGAGAUAAUAAAUGUGUGUUGUUUUUAGCCCUAAGUUUGAGAGUAACCUGUGACACAGUGGUAGACUGGCAGAUAACUGAUGGAGGAACUCUGCUUCAUGCCAACAUUUAGGAACCCAGACUGAUGGAGAUUCUAUUGUUUUCAUCGAAUGACUUCAAGGUCCUUUGGUGUCAGCAUCCAGGCAGCAGUUGGGGGAUGAGAAACAGUGGAGGACCAAGUGUGAUGAGGAGGCUAGCCUGAGAGACGCAGGUUCCCUUUAGUCACACUAAGUCGCAUGCUCUCUCUUAUCUAGGUGAAAUGUAGCCAGCCGCUGGCUGGGCAUCCACUUCCCAUCCACAAGUCAAUAAUGUAG
RNAcentral lists this long non-coding RNA (46139 nucleotides) under Marmota monax (woodchuck). The record is from RNAcentral. Lineage: Eukaryota; Metazoa; Chordata; Mammalia; Rodentia; Sciuridae.